This 86284-nucleotide long non-coding RNA is filed under the name Linum usitatissimum (flax). Its description in RNAcentral is "long non-coding RNA (LUSI_LNC004130)". Lineage: Eukaryota; Viridiplantae; Streptophyta; Magnoliopsida; Malpighiales; Linaceae. The record is from RNAcentral.
UAGGGAUAAAGCUAGAGAAUUUAUUAGGGAGCAUAAUGUCUUUUUUGUUCACAACAUUGUAUCAUUGUAUUCAUUAUGAAAGAAUAGCAACGUGAUAUGUAUAGGAAGUCUUAUCGAAGGUGUAGUACUCACCAACGAGGUUAGCAUGGAUCGCGGGUUUUUGCAAUAGUAAAUAUCUUAAUCCUUUUUCUCCAACAAGCGGACAAUCUAAUAAGGAUUCACCAUAACAAUAAAAAAUGAAGACACUAACAAUCACCAACAAGACAAACACAAACUGAAAACAAACAAAAAGUUGAAAUUAAAAAAAAAAUCUAACAAACUUAAAUUCGAUUAACAACAUUCCUAUUGUGUUGGAAGUUUGGAGUCAAGAUGACAAAUGCAAAUUCAUUAAGUGUUUUAAGUUUGAACUAUGUCGUAUGAGUUAUUUUACUUAUUGUCGAGUCAGUGUCAGUUUAGUCCUUAGUUUGAAAGAGUAAGUGCUUAUUUAGAUAGCUGCAGUAGUUUAUCGUGGCAGCUAUAUCUCGGGAGUCAAUGGGUUAGAGCUGUUAGUGGGAGCCGCGAUUACUGGCUUGAGAGUUGUUCUUAUGGUUUCUAACGUUACAAUGAAUCAAAUCGUCAGUUUGCCCUUCCUUUAAGCUUUACAAUUUGAACAGUUAAGGAAGACUACGAUUUUAGUCGUUCCAACUUACAGGUUCAGAAAAUCAGACUGGUCGCUCCUAACUAAUCAGCUGGUGAUGAAGGGUUUAUGUCAUGGUCGUGCUUCUUGGAAAGGGGUAGGGAUGUAACAACGACUGUGAUAAGCGGCAUAGCAGUAGCAUCGAUGAUGACAUUGACAGUGAUGGAGACGUUGGUGAUGAUGGCAACGUUGGCGGCUAUGGAUUGUGGUGUGGGGUGGGGAUAGGUUGCCGCCAUGAUAUUGGUGGUGAAGUUGGUGGUGAUGAAGGUUGUCUUGUUGAUGUUGGAAGCGAAAGAGUGUAGGACGGCCACGGUGGGUGUGGUGAAUACGGGUGGCGGUUAGGGUUUUGGAGAGGGAGAAUGGUUCUCUCCUACAAAAGGUAACAAUGCAAUUAUUCUUUUACGAGUGGUAAUAAGAUAAUUAUUCUUCUACGAGAGGCAAUAAAGAUCCAAGUUGAAAUCGAAAAACAAAAAAAAUCGAAUAAGUAAAAUCAGCUACGGGGAGGAGUGAGGAUAAUGUUAAUCAGAAGCAGAGUGGUGCUAAUACCGUACGUACGUGCUGCUAAGAUAUUGAUAUCGAAAGAUCAAACCGACACUAAAUAAGAUUCGAGCACACCAUGUUUGAAUAGUUAAUGAGAAGUGUCAAUUAAUAAGGAGUUGGUCCAUAAAAUGUAUGGUCUAGUCUAAAGCAACCGAUAAGACAGUUGAUGAUCCCUCAAAUAACAAUCAACCAACCAACCUAAUGCUUCCACACGUACGUGUUCCACUGCUUUAUCGUCAAUCAUCAACAAUCUCACUAAAUAAUUCUACUUAACGGCGUUCGAAAAUUCUUCAAAUACAUUAUUUUCCGGCGAGGAAAAUUUGGUUUACUGGAAUUCGAUGCAUUUUGGUUUGUUUCGGCAAAAAUCACUAAGCAUAGUUUAAACCUCUUUAAACACUGUUUACAUUGUUUGAAAACCAUCGACACCAUGAUCGUAGCUAUGUCCAUGAAGUGAGAGGUAACUCUCAUGGCAGUUGCUUGUUGGAAAUAUGCCCUUUGGGUUUGACCUUGGUAUAAUGGCAGCACCAUGGACUUGACCUUAGUGUGAUGCCAGAGUUGAGAUGGAUACGUGAGCUCACGGGAAACCUCAUUUUAUCUUGGAACAAGCUGAAACUAGCUGGCAUCAGUUCCUCUAUGAGCUAGAUGAUGCUAGAGACUGACAGUGAACCUCAUCCAGCUCAUCCAGCUCAACCUUGAGCUGGAUGAUAGUGUCACUAGCUGCGAUGCUGAGCUGAGCUACAAUGAUGGUAGGGAGCUAUAUGGUUGCGGUGGUUACUCCUUGUCCCAGGACGAAUGGGUACACACCUCUUCAUAAAUUUCAAACUCAUUUCUGAGUUUUUUUUCCUCCAACCUUGUAGGACUUCAAGUUAGUUACCUUCAAGUCUAUCCAUGAGGAUAAUAGCACCUCUUGGUACAUGGACUCUUGCCCCUUCAGUUCUGGACCCCUUUGCCUAUAUAAAGAAGGUUGUAGUGUGGGAUAACACACACAGAAAAACCAUCUAUCCUAGUCUAUAAUUCUAUGUGACUCUAGUAUCUAAAACCUAAGAAUUUGAGUGGAGACGGUAUUAUCCUCGGAAGGGAUUUCCUGAUACCCAAGGCUUGUAGGGUGGAAAUACUCUUUUCGGAAAGUGGUACCCAUGAUUCUAUCCUGAUCCUAGAUCUCAUCACCUAUCAAAACUCGAAAUAUUGCUACUUGGAACCUCCUAAGCUAACAUUGCUUUCAAUGACAGUAACCACCCAUUCCGGGCUAUAAAUACAAAAAGCCACCAACAGAGAAAUCAACAGACGAAAUUUCACCAAGCAGACACUUUGCCCAAAUUUAUCUUCCCAUAGACGUAGAUGUAGUUUUUAAUUCGGAGCUCUCUUAAAACCUCCAUAGAAUUAGCAGUAUAUAGCGUAGCGAUCGUAGACAUCAGAUACCCUCAUUCGAACUUUUUUUGAAAAGGUAUGGACCAUGUAAGUAAUCCAUUGUGAAGAAAUCAAGAGCGCAUUUGUUAGUUUAAACAUAAAAAUUGUCCAUCCGAAAACACAUAGGAUAGUUGGUACAUGAAAGUCAAUCUUCAGGUUGAUUGAGUAGUGGUCGUCGCCUAAUCAUAUAAGGAUGAUAUUGGCCAUCUUCGACACUUAGCAAAUAAUUUGAAGUCUCUUCUUCAUCGAGAUUGGGAUGUCUAAAUACUCACUCACAUUUUUAAAAAAGAUAAUUAAAUUGCUGAUUUCCUUUUUAUCUUGAGCAUUCUCUUGUUCUAGAUUAAUAAUAUUGGAUGCGGCUCUCUAUAAAAAAAACCCUCAUAUACUCUUCCUUCAAACAAAUUCUACUCAUAAUUAUUCAUUACUUAUUUACUUGCAGAUAAACACAACCCUUGAUCGCUGAGUUAAACUGAAAGAGCACCACUCCAUUCCCAAAGACAUUGAUGGUUAUCCAAUCAAUUUUGGUUUGACUCAUUAAUUUCAGGGUUCGCCUUAAUUUUAUUCAAUAAAUAAAUUCUAACCGUCAGAUGUAAUUCCAUAAAUAAAUAUCGAUAACCCGUUCAAAAAUAUAUCUUUCUCCAGAAAAUUCUUCCUUAUUACUGUACAACAAACUCUUACUAAAACAUACACUUUUUACUGAGGUUUCAUACAAGAAUCUAGCCCGAGAUGGAAAGAUAAAAAGCACUCUUAAUUUUAUUUAAUUAGGUCAAAUAGCCUUGAAUCAGAGCCGAUUUAAUUAGCUUACCUUGCAUAGCAAGACACAUAAUGUACAUUCAUGGAGUUUUCACAAACGGUGAAGAAAAUUAAAACGCAGAAUUAUUAUUAAUUUAUUAUCUGCUGUAACUUGAAAAGAUAAGUGUUAAAGCCAAAGGGAGAGAUUUUCUGCACCCUAUUAAAAACAAGGGAAAGUAAUUUAAUGAUAAUACACACGUACACAGUUAAUUUUUAAUUCACUGUCACUUCCCAACACAAACACAACUUCCUAAAAUAUUACUUUCGUAUUCCCACCCACGCCUAUAUAUAAACACAGCCCAUUAGUAAAUUGACAUACAAACAAUCGAGCUAACAAAGAAAGAAAGCAAAAAAGAUAUCAAAAUGGCUCGUUUGAUCUCCAUACUCUGUCUCGUUUCCCUUGUCAUCGCCGUUUCUGAAGCAAGGGAGAUCGUCGUCGGAGGUAGAGAGAGCAAGACCUUCUGGAGAGUUCCCGGCGGUAAUCUUACAAAUCUCGACUAUUGGGCUGAACAACUCAGGUUCUCUCCCGGAGAUGUUCUUGGUACAUUGCUCAUCAUACUACUCUCGUUUUCAUCACUUCAUUUCAUAUCAUUUUUUUAUUCUACUUGAAUUCCAUGCUACCAUUGAUUUUUGUGACUAUUGUUUCAUUCUUGAGGCAUAUUCCCGUACAGGUAGGUGGCAAUUAACAGAAUUACAAGUUUUUGACGAGUUUGUAAAGUUUACAUUGAUUUUGAGGUCUAAAUCGUAAAUUGCCUAAAAUUGUAAUACAAUCCUUUUGAUGAUUGAAUAAAUAGUAUGGUAUUUGGAGGCAAAAGAGGGAUCAGUGCUUCAAGUGAGCAAAGAAGCGUAUGAAAGCUGCGACAAGACGAAUCCGAUCAAAGAACUGAAAGACGGCGUUGAAAAGGUGAGUUUGGAACGGUCGGGACCUUUUUACUUCAUCAGUGGGAAGGAACCUGACUGCAAGAAAGGGAUGAAGCUUGAAGUGGUCGUUCUAGCAGAUCAUCAUCAGCAGCAGCAGCGUCACUUACCUCCCUCUCCUGCUCCCUCGCCGUAUUCUUCGAGUGCGUCGAAGGUCCUGAACUACCGAUGUGCCACUGUUGUUGUAGCUGCUGCUGCUGCAAUGUUGAUUUGAUGAUCUUUUGUGGUUUGGACUUUGGAGAUUGAGCCUUCAUGUCAUUUUAUGUUUUUGAUUGUUAGUGUCUACGGCCUUUUGGAUUUAAAUUUAGUCUUGCUAUUUCAUUCUGGUUUGAUAGUUUUGCAAUUAAUUUUGAAUUGGUAUUGCAGUUAUUCUGCAAUCUUGUGCCCACUAAACUGCAGGCCAUGGAAAGCAUGUGAAUGAGAACUCGUCAUUGUAUGAUCAAGCUUGGUCCUUAAAAUGUGUUGACACCUCAUCCUCCACCGUGUGAUGGACUCUAACGAACGGCUCAAAUGCGCAGAAGCCCAUUCACGCGGAUCCCAAUCUCCGACCGUUCGUUUGAGUGCAAUCCAACGAUUCAAAUUGUCCCUUUAGCAUUUCUGCGGAUCCUAAUAAAGAAACAAUAGAUAAAUAAGAAUCACGUGGAUCGCCAUUCUAUUUCGUCGAUUCAAUGUUAAUCAACGGUCCAGAUCAUUACCCCUUCCACUUCAGAACUGUCCUAUAAAUUUUGCAGCCUUUGGGCUCCGACAUUCACCAAUUCAAUUCAAAUCUUCCAUCCGAAGCUCUCGUCAAUUUCUUAUAUCUUCUCUUAAAAAUGUCAGGCAGAGGCAAGGGAGGCAAAGGAUUGGGAAAGGGAGGAGCAAAGAGGCACAGGAAGGUCCUUCGCGAUAACAUUCAGGGCAUCACUAAGCCGGCCAUACGACGUCUAGCUCGCCGUGGCGGUGUGAAGCGUAUUAGCGGCCUCAUCUACGAGGAAACCAGAGGUGUUCUCAAGAUCUUUUUGGAGAACGUGAUCCGUGACGCCGUCACCUACACCGAGCACGCUCGCCGGAAGACCGUCACAGCUAUGGACGUCGUCUAUGCUCUCAAGAGGCAAGGCAGGACACUGUAUGGUUUCGGUGGUUAGAUUAGGGUUUCUUUUUUCUUGUAACUUUUUGUUGCAUUGUGAUGUUCGAGAAAAUCUGACCUACUGGAACCUCCAAUUGGGGAUAGAGAGAGAUGGAUUUGGGGUUUCGGUAGGAUGAUUGUGAGUUUUCCCUUUGGAGCUGUGUUUAAUAUCAAUCAAUUGGAAUUACAGAAACCUAUGGAUUGUCAGCUCAAACCUUGCCUUGUUUUUGUUGUUCUUAUUGCAGUGAGGUUGGCCGUAUUAGAGUUAAAAUUUUCUUGUUCUUUGGGCGACCAACGAUGGGAGAGAACCCUAAGGGUUAGAAACAUAGAAAAGCUUACAAGAAAAGAAAUACGUCCCUUGUUAAACUACCAAAAACAAAAACAGCUUACAUGAUUAACUGUUACCUAUUCGCCCCACUUAGCUUUCGAGAAGCGAGCAAGUUCGUAAAUUAUUCCUUUCUAUUCCUCCUAAUCCAAGAUACCUUCUUAGAAACUAAGAAGGCAUACUACAAAAGAUCUGUCUGACAGUCAGCAAUCGUGACACCAAAUUCAGAGAUGUCUAGGUGAAGCCCCGCUAUGGCAACGGAUUGAAGAAUGCGGUGAUCACUUUUUAUUCUGGAGAUUAUCUUUGGAGUAUGCAGUGAUCAAUUUUUCUUCGGGGUACCUUUUUAGGUGAGGUUUUCAGAGCAGAAAUUGAACUCAAUUUCAGAUGCUGGUCUAAUUCCAACUAAUUUCGGCUCGCCAAGUUUAAUUCAAACCAAUUUCAAUGCCAGUUCAGGCGAAAAUUAAACCAAAAAACGCAGAAAAUGACACCUACCACCUUGAUAUUAAAUUCUGGUUCCCUAACAUAAAAGAUGGUGUUUAGGAACUGGAGUUUAAGAUUCAGAGACUAAAAAGAAGACUUGGAUAGCACUACCGUCCAUGACAAAAAUGUGGAUUUAUGGUAAUGUUAAACUGUUCUAAGUGCCUGCGUACGUGCUAUCCAACAUUAGAAUCAAAAGCUUCAACGGCACAAGAGAGAAAAAAACCCACAGUAGAGGUGCGGCACUACAAAGCCACAAGAUGUCCAUUACGAAUGUGAAAUGGCAUCCCAAUCAUCUACGUGACAUCUUCAUCUUGGGCAUUGCUCUUUUGGUCUGACGAGCACGAUCUUUCUCUUGUUUUCUGCGGAUGGCCUCUGCGCUUAGUUUCGAUUCAGCUUCCUCCUUCCUCUCCGCCUUCUUUCUCAACAACGCUUCCUGUCUUGCAUUCUGAAGUUCUUUGAAUGCUUCUUGUGCAGCUUUGUUUCUCGCUGCCUCCGUUUUAGACCGUGCCUGCAUUACCCCCACAUUCAGGAACCAACAAUAUUAACACACACGCGUAUCCAUAGUCAUAGCGCAACCUUGUGAAUUGACGGAUAGCUUACCUGCGGACUCAACUUGUAUCGGCCAAUCAGAUCGAUGUAGUAAGGUACCAAAGCCACCAAUCUGGUCAUAUCCGCCAUAUUGCUAGCAUCGGGCAGAGCAAACUUGAACAACAGCAUUUUCUUGUGUGCACCAGGGUGUUGGUCUGAGAAAUGCAUCGAGAUGAAACCCUUUCCAAACUUUCCAAAAGCUUUUUCUCCGAAUACCUGCAAAUUGAAAAUUCAAUCAGAAAACCAAUCAACAUGGUUGUACUAUCGAAACCACCAAAAAUAAAUUUCUAAUGCCGUACAGUCUAUCACCUAGCUGUUAGAUGAUCUAGACGUAGGACACAUUAUAUCUGUUGUUAAUUCAAGAUGCUAGGAUUCAAGGGAUUUUCUUUUACUUGAACAAUGUUCAAUGUAUUUCCUAGAUCAUCUAACGCAGACAGAUCCAAAGAUCUGCAGAGAGGAUUCAGUUCCCCUCAAUCAGGAAGUAGCAUAUACCUUCCAGGAUGCAUUUAUACCUUUCCUUCGUUUCUUUUGAGUUUCAAAUACUAAUAUUUUACAUACUUUUGAACUCCUUAACAAGCUAACCAAUACUCGUAAAACUGAUGAAUCCACAAGAAAACCAAAAGAGAAACACUAUAAUUUUGACAGCCAUUCAAUUAGAAAGCAGAAAGAAGGGGCUGCGAAAAUAUCUAUGAUUUCUAUGAACUAUGAUGUGAUGAAGGGACAUAUCGCGAAAAAGAAAGCCAAAUUGAAUGAGUCCUAAAACAACUUCAUCCAUGUUACUAUGUUAGGAACAUCAAUUUGAUUGGAAUUGACUUUCCACUUACAAACAAAACCCAGGGGCAAAGAUGGGUUGGUGUGGAAGGCGAAUUAAGAAAGAAAGCAGUAGCGAUUUACUAAAUUAGUAUCUAUGAAAAACAAUACCACAUAUAUACCACCACUAGGCAUGGAACUACAUAGUACAUAGCGCACCAGCAAGUGAGCAGGAGUUGAAUCCACUACCAUGAAUCCUACAGGAAAAGAAGUUCACCACUACAUAACUAAACUUACACCCUCAUAUACCAGACAAAAAAUGGAGCAAGAAUGAUGCACAUUAGGUCAUACAUGACCACCAACUAUAUCUGGAUAAAGCCAAAUCCUAAUAUACUGUACCUAAUCAAGGAAACCAGAAGAAGCACGACAGUAAGUUAAGUAUAUAAGCCAACCUGUUCAAGGACAGCAUCAGUGAUCAAGUCCCCAGCAACCUCCUUAGAUUCAGAAACAACUCCGAGAUCCUCAAUGACCCAUUUCUUCACAUGGGCCUGAUGGGGCAGAAGGCCAGCAAACCUCUGCAAAUCCCUAACCUCCUUCUGCAUAGCUUUGGCAGCUUUCUUCUUGGCCAUUGCGAAAAUCACUUGGUCCAUGGCAUUGUCAUUCAUAUAAACUUGGAAAGUGAUCUCAUCCUUACAGGGAACCACCAUAUUGUACACCUUGGCAAUCAAAUCUCUCGCUUCCCGGUGAAGUAGUUAAUAACGAACAUAAUCAAGAACGAGACGCACACAAUCUCCACGGUGAAUGAUUGCUUCCUCUUGGGAAGACCCUCGCCAGCCUCCUUCGAAUUCGGAUCUGAUGUUUUACUUCCUUCAGCAGUUGAGGGAGUGACUGGAGUAUUAUCAACAUCUGGUUUUUCAGGCUGAGUUGGGAGACCUUCGAACUCGUCUUCGUCCCAGUAAUCCAAGCUGGAAGUUUUAGUAGAUGGAGAAUCGGGUUUGGAUUUGGAAACAUCAGAUUCAGUAGAAGCAGGUUUGGAAUUGGGGUGAUCGGAAGCUGAGGAAGGAUUGGGAUCUGAGGUGGAUAGGGAUUCGGUCUGGGUCAAAGGGAGAUCGUUGAGCUCGAAAGAGGAAGGAUCGAGAGGCUCCUCGAUGGCAUCGUCAUCAUCGGCGUCGAAGCCUUCAAAUUGGGAAUCGGCGACAGCGGGGGAGGGAGAUUGAAGGAGGAGGAGGAAGGAGACGAGGGAUAGCAGGGAGAGGAAAGCGAGGAGGGAGAUAGGUCUGACCAUGGCGGUGGAUCAGAUCGAGUCGGGAGGAAGAGAGAAGCAAUUGGAGAAGUAGUGUUGUAGAGAGAGGAAAACAGUGUUGUUAAGUUGGGAUGAAAGACGGAAUCCUAGCUGGCUUUGCCUAGUAGUGGUAGUGGUAGUGGUAGUGGUAGCAGAGAGAGAUAAAUCUGGCCAAUUUCGAAUUUGAAGUGAGAGAAAUUAUUUUUGGAUCGAAUCUGACGGUUGAAACCAAAUCUUAAUAUCGAUUUUGCUUCGGCCUCCGUAUCCUAUUGGGCUUAGACAUAGGCCGAAUCUCACUUUGGAACUGCUACGCUGCCUCGGAACCAGAGCAAAACCACGAACCUUAUCCUCCAGAAGAAAACAAGUCCCCUUCGUCAUUUCUAUCCUCGCCGAAGAAAUUGCAAACGGCAUCGACGAGCGCGAUGGCAGCUCAGCUGGCCACCGUCAACGGACUCUGCGUUGGGAGAACUUACCCUGCUUCAUCCAUGCCUGCAGGUACCUUCCUUUUUAGGUUCAUUUCUCAUUUCGAUUUCAAUUUUUUUUGUUUCUCUUAUGCUGAGGGAACGCGAUACAUUUCUGCUAACUGGGUUUUGGAGACGGAUUCUGGGAUCUCUAAAGGGAUUGAACUGAAUGAGGAUUUAGUUCGAGGAACAUCCUGAUUGCGAUCAGAAGGGAGCUAGGAUUUAUAGAAAGGCUAGUGUAGUUAUUUGAUGAAAUGCCAUCGAAACUAAUUGAUUUAUGUGAGUAGAUAAUCAUAAUGUGAGGGAAAAUACCCAUCAGCAAUGGAAAUUUAUUGGGCUGUUUUGUUUCAGGGAAACUAAAUGCAACUUCAGUUGGUAAUUUGACUGUAUUCUGGCCGAGCAAACAACGUCAGCGUCAAUCACUCCGGGUCAUUGGUCUAUUUGGUGGGAAGAAAGAUGGCGAUGAUGCAUCUUCAAAGGUCGGACUUGUUAAUGCUUCUUCUCUUGUUGAUCAUUGUAUGAAGCCUUUGUAUAUAAGCUAUUUUCUUGGAUCUUCAAUCUGUUUCAUUUCUUCCACAAGUCACGGUUUUGAAUUAUAUUGAAAAUGUGAGAUCCCACCGGAUAGUAUGGUGUAUGCCCCUGAGUAGGAGGAGAAACAAACAGUUAACCACUGGAUUUGUGUUAUCCUUCUAACAAUAACAACUAUAUCUUGAACCACUGGAUUUGAGUGGUUUAGUAUCUUGAAGGAGCAAUCUGGGUUCAGAUACUGUGGUUAAGUCACUCAAAUCCAGUUUUUUUUUAUAGUUCUAGGUUGGUAUGGGGUGGUUUUAAGCCAUGUAUUUAAGAAUUCAUGUAUUUGAUUGAAUAAUUUGUUUGGUAUGCAAAAAAACUGAAUCAAAUACAUACUACCUGGGGUUCUGAAAUCUUUAAGAAUCAUUUGUUUUACACUUAUGAUAUCCCACUUGAACAUGCAUACCAAACAAAUGAUUUGUUAAAAUACUUGUUGUCAAUUCCUUGCAUUUAUAAAUACAUGUUAUUUAACCGAAUACAUGGUUUUAAGAAUCCCUCCACCAACCAUUUUUUGAUAUGUUUCUCGGAAUAAUGUUCUCUACUGUUUUGUAACUCAUUCUCUUUUAUUUUCGGUAUUAAACUCCAGUUGACUUCUUUACAGCAUAAUAAACGGAAACUGCCUGUUUUCUUUACCACUACAUCAAGGAAGUUGCGGCAGCAACGUGCAUUCACUGUGACGAAUGAGUACUCUCAAAAUGCCGAUUUUCCGAGAACCUAUGGGAAAAAGGAGAAGAAGCCAUUUCCAAUACCAGUAGUGGAGUUGAGGAGAGCUGCCAGGGAGAGACUCAAGAACAAGAACAAGAACGACAAGCCGAAAGGACGACCCCCACCUCCAAAGCAAGGGUUGGUCGUACAAAGUCUCAUCCCUCUUGCUUACGAAGUUUACAAUGCGAGGAUCACGCUCAUUAACAAUAUCAAAAGAUUGUUGAAAGUGGUACCCGUCCACGCUUGCGGGUAAAGUUUCCUCCUUUCUCCGAAAACUGUUAUUAUUGCUUGUUGUUGAAUAGGAUGCCUGGUGGAAAUUCUCAUAACGGUUUUCUUGCUAGGUGGUGUGAUGAAAUUCAUGUUGGGCCAGAGGGACAUCCAUUCAGGACGUGCAGAGGCAAGUAUACGAGUGUCCGGAAGGGUCUUCAUGAGUGGACCAGUGCCGUUGUCGAGGACAUAAUUGUGCAGGUAGAAUCCUACCAUCUGUAUGAUCGUCUUGGCAAUCGAAUACGUCACGAUCAAAGAUUCUCGAUUCCCAGAAUCCCGGCAGUGGUGGAGCUCUGUAUCCAAGCUGGUGUAGACCUUCCCGAAUUCCCUACAAAAAGGAGAAGAAAGCCGGUCAUUUGGAUUGGGAGAAAGGAAUUCGUCGAUGCAGACGAAAGCGAACUUCCUGAUCCAGUCCCCGAACCUCCUCUGAAGCCACUGUUGACAGAGAUACCGGACUCAGAAGUCGUUGCCCCAUCUAGUCAAGAAGAAACAACCUUGCUUUCCGAAGAGACCUUAGCGGCUUGGGAGAAAAUGACGAAAGGUUGUAACAGACUUAGGAAAAUGUAUACUGUUAGAGUCUGUGGGUACUGCCCGGAGGUCCAUGUCGGACCAAAUGGGCACAAGGUGCAAAUCUGUGGAGCACACAAGCACCAGCAACGAAACGGGCAGCAUGGUUGGCAGGCUGCGGUGCUGAACGACCUAAUACCACCAAGAUUCGUGUGGCAUCUCCCUGACGGGAGUGGGCAGCAAUUGAAACGUGAACUGAAAAGCUUCUAUGGUAAGGCUCCUGCUGUUGUGGAGCUGUGCAUCCAAGGUGGGGCUCAAGUGCCUGAAGAGUACAAAACAACAAUGAGGUUGGACAUUGGGAUUCCUACUAACGGUAAAGAAGCUGAAAUGGUUGUUUGAGGAUCACUGUACAAAAUAGGUGAGACUUGGAGUCGCUUUGCUUAUGGUUGGUGGAUUUCAUCCAGCAUGGACUGCAGACCUAAGAUCACAUCAGAACUAAACUACAGGCCAUGAAAAGCAUGUGAAUGAGAACUCGUCAUUGUAUGAUCAAGCUGGGUCCUUAAAAUGUGUUGACACCUCAUCAGUCAUAACCAUUGACAUCAAGUGUCUCUAUAAAUGAUAGAUUGGGACGCUGUAAAUCGAAUCCACCUCCAGGCUCCAACUGCUUCCCAACUGAAGAACAUUGCCCUUCAAAAUUAACCGUUACUCCAGUUUUUUUUAACAUAAAGUUUGAGGGCGUGGAGAAUCUGCCACCUGCUAACACACUUGCAAUCUAUGUUUCCAAACAUCAGAGCUUCCUGGACAUAUAUACUCUUCUAACUAUGUGUAGCAUCUUUUAAGUUCAUGAGCAACGUUAGUAAAGAGGGGGCUUCAGUCUUCUUCUUUCAUGGAAGAUGGGAAUUUAGCCACUUAACUAGUUUGGUUUGGCAGGUAGAAUGCGGGAUGGAAUUCAGAGUAUUUUCCUAUUCAAAUGGGAAAUUUAAAUCUCAACGAAAUGCAUUUUGAGAACUAAUUCUCCCAUUUUCAUCCAAAUUCCAUUCCACAUUGCCAAAUCAAAGUUCAGAUACCUGCAAUUCCUCAUGAACAUUUAGUUCACUUAUUCCAACAACUUGGUAGACAACAUUUCCUUAAAAUAAACUUGUCUUUACCAUUGUUGUUCCUACCAUAACACCUGUUUCAGUCUUGCUUUCCAUCUGUUUCACUAAACUUAAACUACCCUCCACUUCAUCAUCACCUUAUUUCCUCUCUUGUUUACCAGUAACAAACCUAUACCUUGUCAACUUCCUCCCCUCUCUUUCACCUUAUCUCCUACAUUUUUAACCCUUUCCCCUUCUUCCCCAGAACAAAACACACAGUAGCUAGUUAAAGAAUAAGAAUGCCAACUUCCAUUGGCAUUCUGCUCCUUGUCACAGUAAUAAUAACUUCAAACUCUAAGUGCGUUGACUCAUAUCGAAUAACCCUGAAACUUAUCCACCACAACUCAAUCUUCUCCCCCACGGCAGUACUGAACAAAUCAUCCAUACAACAAUUGGUAGAAGCUUCUUCUUCUACAGAAAAGGAACAUAUAGGAGCAAACCUUAUCCCAGGUAGCCAUUCAAUCUACUACGUCAAUUUCUCAAUUGGGCAGCCGCCGGUGCCUCAGCUGGCGGUAAUGGACACAGGGAGUAGCUUGCUGUGGGUCAAAUGCCUUCCUUGCUACCCAUGUUCACCCACUUCCAACACCCGCUUCUUCGAUCCCUCUAUGUCCUCCACUUUCCAACCCAAGGUGAGUGUCUGUCUAUAUGUUUCGAAAUUGUGAACAGUUUAUAAAAAGGAAUUGAUGUACUACUAUAUUGUACAUCACUCCUAUCCACGAUAGUUAAACUUUUGGUUUCUCUACUUCCCUAGUCAACGUUUCGUCCGAAAUCUUUAAAAUUUUGAAAUUUAUUGACAGAGUUGGACAAAAAAUUGUAACUGAAGGUUGGUUAGUACAUUGGCUAUAACAGAUGGAGAGAAUGGACGAUUUAAUAGUAAUGUGGGAGAAUGAUAUUUUGGUAAAGUACAAGGAGCAAUAGCAUUUUUCCUUUAUAAAAAUUAAAGAUGUUUCAAAUACAAUAUUGAGGAAAAAGUUAUUGCAAAAGGAUGAUUUUGUUGAGUUUGAGACUAUAUUUUUGGAGAUAAUAGUAUAUCUCGAUCAAUACAAUAUAAAAAGAUAAAAAAAAUAUUAUAAUAAUGUUUAUUUAUAAGAUGUGUUUGAUUUGAAAUCAUAAUAUUCGAAUCGUCAUGCACAUAACUUUGAGCCCUCCAUUUGGAACAAUUUUCUUUGUUUAUAAAAAGAACAAUAGUACAUUAGAACAUCUCUAAUAAUAAGUGCUAAAGUGUAAAAUUAAAAUGCCAAAUUUGGCUUUUAAAGUUUUAAAAUAUCAUCAAAAUUGAUCAUCAUGUUUAACAAAUAUGAAUUUUGAUAUAAAAAUUAUCAAAAUUAGAAUUAAAAUAAAAAAUUAUAAUAAUGAAACAAAAAAGAAUUACAGAUUCCAAAAGACAUCCUCUCUAUAAAUACAAAUACUAAAUCAAUGAAUUAAACUUGAUACUUUAACACUUUGACUAACCAAAUUUAGCAUCUUGCACUAACCAUUAACCAUACCCAUUGUAGAUGGUUUUAUAGGCAUAAGCAAAAGUUCCAACUUUUAUAAGUAGUGAAAUUGUUAACUUAUUUUUCACUUUGAAGGCGUGUGACCCCACCUGCCGGAGCUGCAAUCCGACCACGAACCAAUGCGAGUACAACAUACAAUACGUCGGCGCGCCUUCAUCUGAAGGAAUCAUAGCCAAAGAACAGCUGACAUUCCCCACGUGGGACAAUGGAUACAGUACCGUGCCGGAUGUACAAUUCGGGUGCUGUCGGAAAACUGAAGAUCUACCGAGGGAGUCUCACAUGACCGGAGUAAUGGGUCUCGGAGCAGAACCCGAUUCGCUGGUUUGGCGGGUCGGCAAGCCGAGAUUUUCGUAUUGCAUAGGGGACGUCUUCGACCCGUUUUACGAUUUCAAUCGGUUGGAAAUCGGAGAAGGGGCGGUGAUGGAAGGUGUUUGGACGCCGUUAACGAUCGAGAAAGGCCUGUACUAUGUAACCGUGGAACGAAUUAGCCUUGGUGGGUCCACUCUGGAUAUACCCGAUUCCGCUUUCAAGAAAACCCCCGGCGUGGACGACGGGGUCAUGAUCGACACCGGAGCACAGGUGACUGUUUAUUUUCAUAAUUAUGAUUGUUUCAUUCAAGUACGAUUUCACUAAGUAAUUUAUGAAAACGGGCUGUGAAUCCCAUGCUUACUAAAAGUGCUUACCUGAUUUUGUUUCCAUAGAACAUUUAAAAUUGAGGAUUGUUUUGACUAUAGGUACGAUUUAAGAUAGUAAGAGAUUUGAAUAGGUUCGUAGGCUAUUAAAUAAAUUAACGUGUUAUUUAUAUGAAUGAUUGGAAAUAGAUAAAGAUUUUGAAAUAGAGUAUUUAAGUAAGUGAUUUAUAGGUCAUUUUAAGUAUAAUUAUUAUAAAUAGAGAAAAAUAAAUAAAAAAGUACUAAAAUAUUUGAGGUUAUCAUGACCUUAUUAACUAAAAAAAGAAAAGAAAUUAAUGAUUAUUUGGGUUAAAUUUUUUUAUUUUUUUCUCCUUCAAAAUUUCUACUACUCACGGUACUUGAAAUUAUUUAUAAAAAGUUUUCUAAACCCACAAGAUAAUUUUAUCUCUUUCGAUUUAAAUGUCUAAAUAAGUAAUUUGAAAUUAAAUUUUUGUUGAGAUCCGUAGUUUACUAGUGUUUUGUAAGAAAUUUAAACCUUUUUUAGACAAUCAUCACUCAAUUUUAUUAAUGUUGGUUAUCAAACCAGAUAUUUUAUAGGAUUAUCGUCCACUCCAUUCACACCAUAGAAGGUAAAUGAAUAAAAAAAUUAAUGUGCACAACCUAAUUUCUACUUCGUCGAAUGACUUACACCUCAAAAUUAGAGUAAACAAAACUGGAGUUAAUACAAUAAUAACAAGAUGAAGACUUAGCUUUAACGAAAAUAACACAUUUUUAAUGAAUCACAUCAUUGAUGAAGAAAACGUGUUCAUUGAACAAAACUAGUUAUGUUUGCAACAGUACACAUACCUGAAGAAAGAAGCAUUCGAAGUGGUGGAAUAUGCAGUCCGUGACCAGCUGAGGGGCACGAAAUGGAAGCGAGUGUGGAUACAACAAGCAAAUGGAAGGAUUUGCUUCGGUGGGAGAGUCGCUGAAGUCGCUCAAAGUUUCCCGCUUCUGGGUAUCCAUUUCGAGGGCGGGGCGGACCUGUACCUCGACGGAUUCGGAACCUUCGUGCAACUUAACUGGGACACCUUCUGCUUGGCAUUCCUUGAAACUUCUGAGGGUGAAGACUCUAGUUGCAUAGGUAUCUUGGCUCAGCAGAACUACAACGUUGGCUUUGAUCUUGUUGAUAAGAGAGUCUAUUUCCAGAGGAUUGCUUGUGAGGAUCUUCAUCUAUAAAGCUUGAUGAAUCGUGCUUGGAAAGUUAAAUGUUACACGUAAAAUUUACAUUAAAGGUAAUUGUAUUGUGAAUCUCUUCGCUCAUCAUAGAGGCAUUUAUUUUUUUUGAAAUUCAUUUGAUUUCUUCUUUAAAUGUGACAUUAUUAAUUAUAUUCAUGACAACAUAACCUUAAAAUUACCUUAAACUCGGGUUAUAAAAUUGACAACAUAGCCUUAAUAUUUGUAGCCACGAUUUAAUAUAAAAGAAAAUAUUUAGAUGCUCACAAUUAUAAAUUAUAAAGUUAGAUGAAUAAUAUAGUUUGUUUUGCACCACGCAGUAUAGAUUUCAAAUACAUUUAUUUCUGUCGUCAAAACGUUACGAUUUUUUAAAAUUGGGGAGCUGAGCUGUGUCGCGCCACCUAGGUUGAAGCAUGAAGGAAGGUUGGGCUGGCAGUGAUCCUUAGCUAGUUCCACGAUGGUGUCCCAAGUCAAUUGAAGUCUCAAAUAAAAUAUUUAGUUAAUUCCUAAAUUACCCUUCCGUGUGUAUGUACGGUGGGAGAUACAAAAGAUUGAACUUAGCUGUACUUUUACGGGUUGUUUGGAUGAGGUAUUUUUUAUAUGUGAUAUUUUGGAAUAAAGUAGUGGAUUAUUUGAGAAUGUUGUAGUUGUGUGGUACAAAAGACUUGUUGUAUAAAAAUUAUCUUGUUUGACUAAUUUAAAACAAUGUGUUAAUUCGCAUGUGGUAUGUGAUGAAUAAAAAGGUCUAUUACUAUAUUACCCUCAUAAAAUUCAAUCUCUAAUGAAGACAAUAACCGUGUUUGUGAGAUUUUUUUGUUAUGUAUUUUAUUGUAAAAUAAUGUUUUAUGUCUUCAAGUCUUUUGAAGUUGGACUAUAUAGUAGUCUUAUAUUUAAACUUUCUAAUUAAUAAGUUAGGCAGGAUGGGGAUAACCACGAGUAUUUGAAAUCCACAAGUUUGGGAUGUGUAUGAAUAUUGAUAUUCGGAUGAGGACGGGGAUGGGGAUGAGUUUUAUGAAUAGAUAUGGAGAUAGGUAUAGGUAUCCCGUCCAAAACCGCCCUAUUGCCGAGUCUAGUUGUGAAAAGGAAGAACAAAUCAAGGGUAAUUUGGGGUUUAAAAAAUAAUGGAUUGUUACAGAAACCCACUAAUUUCUAUCACAUCCCACCAAAGUAUUUUAAAUAUCAUCAACACCUACUAUUUCAAAGAUCUUAUUUCAAAAUAUCACCGAUUUUAUUUUGGAUGUCAAAUAUAAUAUUUGGACCAAAAUACCACUUCCAAAUGCAUCCACCCAUUAGAGUUUGAAUACAAUUUGCUCUCGUAGAUCUAGGAAAAAGCCAAUAAUUAAAAGAAACUUAAAGUAGGAGAGAAAUCACUGUUGCAUUAGUCUCUCAUCUAUGACUGCUCUGCUGACUUAAAGAACGGUUGUGAUUGAGUAUGAAGAUUUGAUGAUGCAAAAUUGUUUGUUUUUAAUUAUUUUGGACGGUUUAGAUUAUUUUUAAAGAUUUAACGGUUGAUAAUCAUUUGUAUUAUACAAAUGAGCUUGCCUAUGUUUGUAUGUACCUAAAAUUUAAAUUAAUUAAUAUAUUUUUCCUAUUUUUAUNNNNNNNNNNNNNNNNNNNNNNNNNNNNNNNNNNNNNNNNNNNNNNNNNNNNNNNNNNNNNNUAAUUUUUGCGUUAAAUUUUUUUAUUUUUAGACACGAUUAAAAGAAGCACAAUCAUGAUAAGAUUUCGACAAACUUUUUUUAGGUCAAACGCGUAUGUUGAUUACGUCAAAAUUAGACCUCAUAUCGUUGAACUCGAUUAUGUAACAAUGAUCGGGAUCGUUGAUCAAUGCGUGUAACGAAUUUUUCAAUUAUUUUCCCCANNNNNNNNNNNNNNNNNNNNNNNNNNNNNNNNNNNGAUUUAAAGUAUGUUUUUUUUUUUGCCACCCGCAUGUGGGUAGCGAUUCUCAAACACCAACUACAUAAAAUUGAUAUUAUGCAAUUAAUGAGAUAUUAUCACUUUUGUAAAUAAAAAGCAAAUAUGCACAUAAAUUUGAAUAAUGGUUAAAUUGGAUUGGCUAUUCAUUGUUUAGAUUUUCUUAUUAUUUUGACUUAGCCUUGCAUGGAAUAGUUUACAAAGAAAACUGAAACAUGGCUCAUUAAUUACAUACCAUUCUGUUUGACUCAAAGUAAGUAAAUCUCAAUUACACAAAAUGAAAAUUCAUUGACAUUUCCUUAUUAUCUCACUCCUCGCCUCCAUAUGUCUAAGUACAUUUAAUAGCGUGGUAUGUUAACGACUNNNNNNNNNNNNNNNNNNNNNNNNNNNNNNNNNNNNNNNNNNNNNNNNNNNNNNNNNNNNNNNNNNNNNNNNNNNNNNNNNNNNNNNNNNNNNNNNNNNNNNNNNNNNNNNNNNNNNNNNNNNNNNNNNNNNNNNNNNNNNNNNNNNNNNNNNNNNNNNNNNNNNNNNNNNNNNNNNNNNNNNNNNNNNNNNNNNNNNNNNNNNNNNNNNNNNNNNNNNNNNNNNNNNNNNNNNNNNNNNNNNNNNNNNNNNNNNNNNNNNNNNNNNNNNNNNNNNNNNNNNNNNNNNNNNNNNNNNNNNNNNNNNNNNNNNNNNNNNNNNNNNAAUUUUAUGUUAUCCGCUGCUUAAUUAAAAGGAUAUUUUAGUAACUUUAUUUACUUUAAAAAUGAGUGUAUGACAUUCAAUUUGGGAUGUCUCAUGUGUGAAUUUUAAAAAAUGCAUUUCUCAUUGUUUUUAUAUAGCACCUUCGACCUGUUUAAAUAAGUAUUUAGACUGAAAGUCAGCAGUCUUAAAAUUUAAGUAAUCGUUGAGUAACAAAAUACCCAUAUGCGCACUUCUAAUUAUCCUCUUUAAGGCUAUAAAACUUUUGGUAUACUUAAAUAAAUAUUUUGAUGGUAAAUCGACAAUCUUAAAAUUUACUUGAAUACAGUAUCACAACGUGAUAACUCAUCAAAGGAAGUAAAAAAUUAAUUAAGGAAUAGUCGAAUGAUAUUGUUUGCAGCUUCCAAACAUUUAGUUAUUAAAUUGUGCACAUACAUGCAGGAGGAGACAGAGGAUGGUGGCGGCCACGGUGGCACGGAAACUACUGCAUGUUCAAGGUAGAAUACGCCGGUGGACAGAGUUCGGAAGGAGUCUACGCCACCGAACAACUAACCUUUCGAACCUCCGACGACGGGACAAUCACUGUCCCGAAACUUCUAUUUGGCUGCACUAUUCUGGAGACUGGGACCAACGAUCUCGAUCCACGAGUCAACGGGAUACUAGGAUUGGGUACAUGGGUUCCUGGUAUGCCGCGAGGAGCAAAAUCCUUGGUGAACCAAUUGGGGGCCAAAUUCUCGUAUUGUGUCGGUAGCUUAUCCGACAUUACAUACCCUUAUAACCAAUUAUCUUUCGGUGAUGCUGUUGAUUUAGCCGGCGACCAAACUCCGUUCUACUUCAGAGAAGGCAAUUACUACAUGCACCUCGUGAAUAUCAACUUAGGAGGACUAGUAUUAUUUACUUAUGCUGUAGUAUCAAAUAUUUUCUUCUAACAUGCACUUUUGUCACCUCUAUAACAGAAUAAUAUAAUUAGAUUCAUAAUUAACUUUUUUUCAAUAACUCAAGUUAGUGGGAUGCAACGAUUUUUAACAUGGUCUCAGACCCUAAUUUGACUAAAUGGUCAUGUAUUCAAAGUAUGUUGUGUCCGUGCAAACUUCAAAACCGUUAGUUGGAUUUCGUUUGAAAGGUAUAAGAGAAUGAUAUAAUCAUAAUUUCAUUUCCUCAUAUGGUGGCAAGACAAACUUUCAUUCAUCUUCCAAACUGUAUGUAGUCCAAUCUUAUGACCUAAGUUGAUAUUUAAUGUGUUUUAUCUUAUUCUAUCUACUCCCUUUGGGAGCUAUCUAUCACCCAAAAAUAACUAAGACCCAUCCUGCUUAAAAGAAAGAAUAGACUCCAAAUUUUCUGUCUUCUGGACAUCCUACGAAUCCUAACAGGAAUGUUCAAAUCUUAUUUAUAUACCAAUUACAAAGACACAAGAUCCUCACUUCACAAAUGGGGAAGGUUGGAUUUAAGCAUUCAAUCGCAUCCAAAGAAUGUGACACAUUGCCAGAGUGUUAGUACCUUGAAUCUUACGUAAUUAUGUAUAGGUUUGUCCUUUCAUCUACUAAUCAAAUGGCUAGCUAAUCAAAUGAUCGCAUCUAAUCAUUGCCAUCUAAUAAAAAGCAGAACUUUCAGCCACUAAGCUAUCAAAAUGUGGCCAAUUUGAUCAUCAUUGUUGUCGUCCACUACAGCUGCACAAGCUUGACGGAACCUGGAGAUAAAUAGAUGAUGUGUUCAGUCAAAUGCUUUGACGAAAGAGGGGCUUAUUCAUACGAAACACAUGUACCUUGACAUGAUGUGGCAUGAUUUUGACAUCGAAAGGCACAUGAAGCCAUGCCUCUGGUGGGUAUAGGAGAAAAUUCUCAGGUUUGCUGGUGUAUACAUCUGCAUAUUGAUGAAUGUGAUAGGCGAAUGCAGAUUCUUGGCCUGUGUCGGUGAGAAACGUGGCCCCAAAUGACUCAUUGAACAUCUUCCUCAUCGUCUCCCUCGCCUCUUGCCUCUUUUGAUUCAGCUCCUUAAGGAGCAAGCCAUAGGUUUCGCUUCUGUUACUAUUCGGCACAAUGGAAUGCAAUCUCCCUAGCAGUUCUUGUAUGAUGUGGAAUUUCGCCUGUACAGGAAGUUUGUUCAGACCAAAAUAAUUUGAACUUGGUCACAAGAUAUCAAAGAAUUGACAAGCUGAAAAGCAUGGUGGUGAAACCAACCUGCUCAAACCGGUAACGAUCUCCAUUCUGUAUACGUAUUUCAUUCUGUAUAGAAUAGAGCACUCACGUAUCAUACAAAUGUUAUCAGUCCUAACAACUUAUGAGAAGGACUUAGUAAUAUUGCUUACUUCUAGUUCACGGAUGAUAGCAGCAGUUCGCCAUCCAGCCUUUGAAGGUCCCCUAAGAUCACUGAAGAGGUGAUCACCGAAAUAAAUCACCUACAAAGAGGAAGAUGAAUCUAUCAAGUAUAAUCAAAUAUAACGAGCUUAAAAGCACAUGGUUGAUCAUUCUUAUUCAAUCCAGAUAUCAAUGUGAACAAUUUUUCUCAAUGUUUCCCUAAGUUAGCUCUAUACUAUUUACAAAGGAAUUACGCCAAAAGUUGAAGUAUUAUACCUCUGGACCACGCCACUUGGUAAUUUCAAGAAAGGUUUUAAGGCAUCCAUGGUAAUAGAUUUUAUCCUGUACGAAAGUCUCCACCUUUGUAAAAGCCAGAGUGUCCCUUUCUGUGUCAUAGCAUCUACACGAACAUUAAUAAAACACUUUAGCACAUAUGUAAUUCCUAGUCAAGAUGACAGUCGAGAUCAGCUUGUUAUACAUGAAACAGUAGACAUCAAGUCAGGAAAAGUAGAGCCGCAACAUUCAUUAGGCUAUGGAACAUAAACAGGGCAGAAAAUAAGUAGUCUGAGACGCCAACCGAAAUGGGUGCUCAGAAGUGUAGAAGUCUGGCUUAUUGGCUUUAGCAAUCACAACAUCAAAGAGGUCUCUCCAGGAGUCUCCGCAACCAAUGGAAUCCUGAAGAACAUGCACACAUAAGCGAAUAAGUAUAGGAAAUCGAUGUUUACAUCAAUCCUUAAAGUAGAAUGCCAACCUUAAUAAUUGCAAGAAGAAAAACAGUUAGACGCAAGUGCAUUACAGAAAGCUUACAAAAAACUUGGAUGAUGUGGAGAAUAAUAGUUUUAGAAUACUCUUUUAUCACUUUCAGCAACACAGGUUCUAAAUUGUAGGUAAAAAAAGCAACAUAACAGAAUGUUCUAUCACUGUUUCAAGAAUGCGGUCAUUACCUCCAGCAUAUACCGCAUUCCCCCAUCCACAAAGUAAUAAGGAGAGUUGGUCAGCAAGAAAAGCUUCUUCCCCUUCUCUCUCAGCAUCUUAAGAAAACGAAGGGCCUCGUGCUAGAAUUGUCCAUGAUAAACCAGUGAACAUAGAGAGGAUGCAUCAAUAGAAUUUCUCGUCGUUGCCAAAAACAUAAUAUGCAGGUUCUUACUCACAUUUUUCAGCAGAUACUUUUGUGGAUUGGAAAGGAUGCCCCUAUGAGCUGACCCGCUUCGAUGAACAUGCUGAAUGGCACGGUUUACAUCUUGAUAGAUGUAAGAUGCAUCAAAUUCUAGCUUAGCAUCUACAAAGUGUUGGACAAUAUCUGCGAUAAGGCAUGCCUACAACAGGACAACAAGGGAUGUUGGAUGGUUUAAGGAGAACGAAAACAAAACAAGUUAAAAGCAAAAAAAUCCAUCAAGGACGGGAACACUUAUGCACUAGAGUAUAGAAAAGAAAGAGACAAUUACCUCACUAAAGCAGAAGAAAUCCAUUAGACCAACGAGUCCACGUGCUUGGUCACGACCAAUAUGCCUUGUGCCAUAUAUCUCUUCUAUUUCCUUCCUGCUAAGCUGCAAAUUGUACUAGAUGAGCAAUCAUAUCAUAAACAUUCUUCGCCUUAUAGACCAGGAAAAUGUAAUUGACUGACAUACCUUGCGUCGACCGAAGUAGCAUCCAUCUGGCUCAAUUGACCCAAAGAAAUCCAGCUUCAAAAGGCACCCGUUCUUCCUGUCAUAGUAUAAGCCUCUAAUGGGAAAUGUAGGAUCAUAUGUGAACCUCAUGCAUAUCUCAGGAUAUCUCAGCUGCAAGAAACAGACACCACAAUCUUAACACUAAGCACUGCAAUAUCACGUUUGUCAAAAGCCACAUAAGAAUCCCCAUGAUACCAACCUCAUUCACCAUAUGCUCCUUUGCAAGAUCAUAUAUCAAACUCUGCAAGUUGGAAGAGUAAUGGGCUAAUGUAUAGUCGUAGUCAAAUCCGUAAACUUGAAUGUUAUCCAAUCUAAGAUUCUUAUUCACAUAGAUGCCUAAAAGAGAGAACAGAAAACAGAGCAAAAAGUAAGAUUAGAGACAACACCGCAGCUUAUAAGCCCAAUUGAGGAAUAUAUACAAUUCACCAUUUACUAAACCUUUAGGAUUCAUCUUAGACAUUCCAGCGAGCGACUCGGGAACAGAAAGAAAACUAUUCUUUGCUGCCUCAAACUGGUGUCUAAUCUUCGCAACUUCAUCAUCAAAAUCUGAACCUUCAGAUUUCAGUCCUUCAGCCGAAGCACUAGCAGCAAUACUGUAACUCCUAAAAUUCCCUCCAAAACCUAAACCCCAAACAAGAAUAAAGAGAAAUUCAAAAUCAGGCAACCGCCCAAAGGAAUCACACAGAAGGUAUAAAAAAACUUACCUUCUCGUAUAGCCAGCAGAGAAAAGCACGCUCUCUGCAAGAAAGUCAUGAACUUUAUAUGAAAUGCAGAUACUUCUUACAAACAAUAGAAUAAAUGAGAAGAAAACAAGGAAAUGGUACACGAGUAUAGGGAGAAUCACACAGAAGGUAUAAAAAACUUACCUCCUCGUAUAGCCAGCAGAGAAAAGCAGGCUCUCUGCAAGAAAGUCAUGAACUUUAUAUGAAAUGCAGAUACUUCUUACAAACAAUAGAAUAAAUGAGAAGAAAACAAGGAAAUGGUACACGAGUAUAGGGCCGUAAAGAAACGAGUUUUCGGAUGGCGGCCAUGGCAGCAACUGUUCUCUCAGCUUCGUAGCAUUGGAGGAGAUGAAGUCUUUGUAUUACGAUUGAACAUUUCAAGAAAAGCUUCCCACUUGACUAUGAACUUUCAGCCAAAAGAAUGAAAAGUAGCCCACUUGGAGAUUUGGUGGUAGGUUAGGGUUUAUUUCUUUUUGAGGGAAGGUUAGGGUUUAUUUCGUUAGGUGAAGAGUGAUAAAAUCAGGGGGCUGAUUGAGACUGAAUAUUUAUAGUUACCAAAUAACCGCGCUGCUAACCCCAAAUUCGUUUUUGUUUGCAUUUAGCUCAAGGUUUUCGAUCGGACAAAAAUAUAUUGCAAGUCUUUUUUUUUGGGAAUUACUGCUACUAAAUUCUAAUCUCAUCGCUCUAAAAUAAUAGAAAUGGAUGAAAUUAUUAUUUUUUGGCUAACUAAAAUGAAAAUGUGCCACUAUCGACCACCGAUUGGAUGCUGGACUCGGAUGGGUCGGCAAUCCGUUUGGGUCUCGCCAUCAAAAAGAGGAGAACAUGAUGCGAUCUUGUUGCCAGCGAAGUCUUAAUGGGCUGACCACCCAUCUAGACCCUGCCGACGAAGAACCGUCUAGUAGACGGCAAUUAACUUUAACUUUAAUAUAUAUUAAAAUCCAUUAAUUACCAUGAUGUCAUAAUCUAACUAAUAAAUUAAUUAAUAGUUACCAUGAUUAAUAUUUUAGGAAUUAAUUUAUAAAAUAUUAACUCAUUUAAAAUUUAAACGGUAAAUUUACCAUAAAUUAAAAACCCAAAAUUCACAAUCCUUAAUCAUCAUAAUUACCAUAGUUUUUGUUUACUAGACCAUAAUUUUUUAUCACUCAAUGGCGUUAAUUACCUUGACAUGGAAGAGGGCAAAGGCUCUAGGAUUUCUUCCUAAGCCUGCCUUGAAGUUCCGGGACGAUCAAACGUUGCGCACCAAUUCAAUUGAAGGGAGCUUUCUAAAAUUCGAGAGGAUAAAAGAGGUUACAAUUUGGGUUUUUAUUUUUUGUCUCUAUGCUCGACGGUGGGCUUUUAUUCAAACAGCGCAAUGCCGUUGGGGGAACAACAACCGUUAGGAACACAACGGCUGUUGAGUCCACCACUGGCAAAUAGUUGGGCAGACAACGGUUGUUAAUGUAAAAAAGAUUAAGUCAUUUAGAUAUUUUGUAACAAAACUUCACAAAUCUAAUUGACCAAAAUGGAUAUUUAACGUUGCUUCAAAUCAAAUACUCUACAAUGUUUCUUAAUGUCCAGCUGCUAUGAAUUGAAGGCUGCAAUAUGUGUACAUGUUAACUUGAUCACUCAAGUUACACCUUUAACCUGAUAUAGCACUGCUCGCCAAUUUAUCGUCAUUGUCAUGUGUUCUAUUCAUAGCUGCGCAAACUCUCGUGAAGGUAGCUGCUUCUCCUCUAACAUGGCUGCAUGGUUUUCUAAGAACUCUUUGCUAUUCAUCUCAGUUAACCUGCAAAUUAUUCAUUUAACCAAGUUACUAUCAAACUCUGAAAUCCACAUACACAACACUUGAUUAUGCUUUGUCUAAAAAAGUGCAAUUACUUGCCUACUAAUGGUUCGAUCUUUAGCAAAGCCAAGCUCGUUAUCCACGCAAAGAUCAGCCUCAUCGUUUCUCCUCGAUCUUCCGGAGGUCCUCGGUGCCAUUUGCUGCGCAUCAGCAAUUGUAACAAUCUUCUCAAAAAGUUCGAAUGGAGUACCUUCUGCUGUGCACAGCAGUCUCGCCCUGUUCUCGUACAUGACCUGGAAAGAGUGACAAAAGAAAUUUGUGGUAUUUGUUCGAACAAGCUUUGGAUUCAAAAAUAAGACAAGGAAUUAGUUCAAGGAACAUACAUCAAUUAACGUGACGAAUCGAUACGCUGCUGUUCUGUUGUUAAGCCCCAAGAUUGGGAUACCUUCCAAUGCCAAUGUAUGGAAACUCUCUGAAAGAGGGUACAUAAAACAUUGUCUUGUAACAUUAGCAGGAAACUAUAUACUAUAUGCCUCCAAUGUUUAAGGAGUAAGAAUUAACUUACUGAACAAUCCAAAAUAAUCUGCAGCCCCAAGGGGUCUAUCACACAAUUCUUCAAAUUUGAAGUAUGCACAUCCAUCAGCAGCAAAUGGGACCUAACCACAUUGAGAAGAAAUAAAGCAGAUUAGAUGCUGAGAAACACCAAUGCUAAUUCAAGCAAAACUGCAAAUUCUCACACAAACCUGCAAUUUUCUUCCCAUUACUACUUCAACCUCUUCUGAUCUAACCUCGUGUUUGCCUACCAAUUCCUGAAACUUCUGCUUAAGGAGGCCAGCUAUAUUAUUCCCAACGAAGUAGAACCCUUGUUCAGCCUGUCCACCACCCAUGAAUCAUUAGUAGCGUUAUGAGAUUGUAGAUGAAAGGAAUGCUAAAUGAAGUCUCACCGAACCCAAUUUUCGGUAGUCUACUGAUGAGCCGAUUUCACGAACCACACAUCUUCCCUGGAAGAAAAAGACUUAUUUCCAUCAUAUUGAUGCUUGUUCUCUAAUUAAGGAUCUCAAACGCAUACAUACAUACAUACCUUCAGAGUUUCAAUGAAAGGAAGAAAUAGAUCCCUUUGCAAUCCACCUUCAUAUAGCUUAUCCGGGUUACGAUUUGAUGUCGCAACAAGAAUCUGUACUUGCCUCCAUCAUGGAUAAAUUAAAAAACAAGUUCUAAGUAUAUGCUCACAACCUUGAUGAGAAAAAAAUUCUGCAUUUCUUAUUUCUUGUUGUAAGAUGGACUUACAACACCAUUGUUGAAUAGAUGUCCAAAGAGGCGAUUUAGAAUCAACGCAUCAGCAACAUCAGUCACCUGAAAACAGAACCAAUGCAUAGAGUUAGUUAACACUAUUUCCAGCACACAAAUAAGUAUCAAACAACAUCAAAGAAACAACUGAUGAUGUGGAAUAAACAUACCAUGAAUUCAUCUAAACAUAAAAGAAUUGCUUCGUCAGAGAUCUCCCCUGCAACAACUUCAAGUGGGUCAGCCACGCCCCUAUGUCUCUGUGAAAAGGAGAAUUCUAUCAACUCAAACCCAGUUUGAAGUGCAUCAUGACCUUGAAAGAGUGACUCAAGUAAAAGAGGUAUGAACUUGACUCUUACUUGCAAGCGGCUAUGGACAUUCAACAUGAAGUCAUGAAAGUGGAUCCUCUUUUUCCUCCAACUGCAAGGCCUGAGAGAAAACCAAAGGAAAAAAAAAGAGUUAAAAAAUCCAGUAACUUCGUCAAAAGGCUGCGUUUAUUUCAGAAGGGAAUAACUAACUAACUGUGCAGAAAGCUUACAAUUGAUCAUAGAACAAAUCCAUCAACAUGGUCUUCCCGGUUCCAACACCUCCAUAAAGAUAAAGUCCUCUAACAGGAGAAUAUGAAGACUGUGGGAUGAAACGUGACCACAACCACCGUUUCCUGAUUGACAUUUGAUCAGACAAAUGUGACUCAACCUCUAAAUAUUCAUGUCUGAUGCAAAGGAAAAAGGACCAUGCUUUCAUCAUAUGAACAUUCACCUUGUAGAUUUCUCAGACGUAGCAUACCGAUCCAAUUUGCAGGCAUCAGCAGAAUCAACAAUCUCAUCAAAGAGCCUUUGAAGUUCAGUCAAAGUUCGUAACUGCAGAAGCAAACAGGAUCAAACUUUUAGAUUGGAAAUAGUAGGACAGGGUAUCUCUAUACAUAUAUUAGUAUCUACAAUUAGUAGGACAGGAUUUUAGGUUCAAAUUUAUGUUUUCAACUAUUUUAGUUGACAUUCUGAUACAAAUAAUAAAGUAAAUACUCGAGAGACACAAACCUCACAGUUAACAAUGACUAUGUUAGAGUUGAUUAUAACUAGGAGGGAGAUUAUAAAUAUAUUACAAUAACAAUGGGGUGAGACAUGACGGAAGAAAGAUUCAUACUUUUGCUUGCCUACAUGGGACAUGACUAAAGAAAAAUUGAUGCUUUUGCUCAUCUCAGUUGCAGUUCAGGUAAUAUUGACAUUAAACAAAUCAGAACCAAAUAAAAAACGUAAGAACGUAAUCUUAAAUAAAUAAAUAAAAUAACAAACACCUGGUAGUUAUCACCAUCCACAAGGUCUCCAGAAGCAAUCCUUCUUUGGUACUCCACAAGAGGCCCUGCUAUCCUUAGAUCUGUAAAAUGAAAUCAUAAUUACGUUUCAAAUUCCACAAAAUGGCGGUUGAAAAAUUAAAUCACAAAAGAAAUUGGUAAGAAGAUGUUGACCUGAACUUGUGACACUAGCAGCAGCAUCAGUUGCCAGAGUCCUAAAGUUGGCAAAUUUCCUGUUCUGAAAUCUGUCAGUUUUAAGAGAAGAAGCAGAUGUUCUUUGUAUCAAAUUCUGCUGCCUUGUUCUUAUUCCCACCAAACCAGCUGAGGAGUUGGUCGAUUCUUUAGUCCCAACAGUAGAAACUAAUUGCCGUACAGAUCGAAUACUUCUUCUCAUCCUUGUGUUCAAUUCCCAAAUAUAGGCCAACCAGAAAUGAAAAAGAUUCGUACUUGCAAAUGCCCUCCUGCAAAAGAAAAGCAGUUGGCUUUUUUAUAAUUUUUCUUGGUUUUUUUUCCAGUUUGACUCAAAAUCAGAAUUCCAAAGCAACUCACACCACCAAGAUCAAUCAAUCGGGACUCCAUCUGAGGGAAACAUAAGACAUAUGUAUGUAUGGGGUUCAUUACUCGGUAAAGAUAAUUUCAAUAGACUGAAAUGAAAGCAACACAAUUCUCAGAGGUCCAAAAAGAUGCAGACUUGACAGAUAAACAGAAGAAGUGAUAGCAAAAAUCCAUUCGUCUCAAAUCAUCGAAACAGGAUCAAACCCAGCAACAGCAAGAACAAACACCUAUAUAAAAAAACCCAGAUAUGAUUCGAAGAAACGCACCUAAGGGAAAGGAGAGAAUGCGAAUUGGGGACAGAGGAGGAAAGAAAUCUUAUUCCCAGCAGUGAUGAUUCGAAGUAUGGGAGAGAUUUUUGAGGAUAGUGGAAUUGGGAUUGGAUAGACUAUUAAGAAACAGAGUUGUUGGGAAGAAGAGGGAGAGUUAAUGGGAGAGAUGGUGAUGGUGACGAGGAAGGUUGAAUCAAAAGAAUUUGGGAAUGGGAAGGAAGAAAUGUCUUCUCUAUUUCGGAUUCAUUGAUUGAUUGGGGUUUGCUUUGCUUUCAGGGUGGCGUAUGUAUGCGGCUGGAUUAACGAAACUUGAUUAAAACGACGAAAUUAAUUAGUGUGGUUAAAAGUUUAAACAGUCUAUGGUACUUAACGAUGAUGUGGAUUGCUAAAUUAGCACGUGCGACGAUCAGAUGGCAACGGUAAGCAGCUGUGUGUUUGUGAAUGUUGUUUUCCACCUAUGGGAUCAUAUUCAUAUCCUUUUUUCUUGGUAUAAAACUAUAAAUGGGAUCAUAGGACCAUUUUUAAUGGCCAAGGUUUAUGUUAAAUAGCUAAAUUUCGAAAUUAAUUUUUUUAUGUGAAAUUUGGGGUGUCAAAGUGUUAAAAGUUUUAAAUUGGCUUAGUGAUUUAACGGUUUUGAUGGGGUUUUUAGAUAUUUGUAAUACUUUUUAUUUGCCUAUCAUUUUUAUGUUUGUGAUAACAUUUUUUAUAUUUAUUCUAUGUUAAUUAAAUUUUUAUAUUUUUCAAAAAUGAAUAUAACAAUAUCAAUUUUGAUGGUAUUUAAAAAAAUUUAAAACUACGUAAAUUGAUAUUUUAACAAAGUCCAUAGCCAAAUUUGGUUAUGUUNNNNNNNNNNNNNNNNNNNNNNNNNNNNNNNNNNNNNNNNNNNNNNNNNNNNNNNNNNNNNNNNNNNNNNNNNNNNNNNNNNNNNNNNNNNNNNNNNNNNNNNNNNNNNNNNNNNNNNNNNNNNNNNNNNNNNNNNNNNNNNNNNNNNNNNNNNNNNNNNNNNNNNNNNNNNNNNNNNNNNNNNNNNNNNNNNNNNNNNNNNNNNNNNNNNNNNNNNNNNNNNNNNNNNNNNNNNNNNNNNNNNNNNNNNNNNNNNNNNNNNNNNNNNNNNNNNNNNNNNNNNNNNNNAAAGAUAGAUUGAAACUCAAAUAAUGUGAUCUGAUCAUUUCUCAAGUCUUGCACUGAAACUCAAAUAACAUGGUUUGACCAUUCUCAGACUCAAUGCGGUCUAAAAAUGAUCAGAUCACGUUAUUUAAGUUUCAAUCCAUCUUUUUAAGUUAUUUCAUAUUAAAAUGUGUCAACAAAAAUUUGAAAUACUUGAUGUUUUAUAUUUGGUUUUGGAAAAUAUGAUGAUAAAAAAUCGGUUACCACUGUAAAACCGAAUGUUAAUGAAUUAAGAUCGAAAUAUGUGGAAACUCGAACAUAACAGAUUCAUUUUUAAGGUCAAAUUGUGUGUGUUCUAGUAUGAGGUUCCACUUCUUAUUAGUUAACUGAUGGAUUGUACUUUGAUUAGUUUAACAUGUGAUGUGGCAGCAGGAGGUGGAGUAAAUUAUAGUUGUAUAUCGUUAUCAUGAGAUGGUGGGGGCCACAGUUCCACCGCAUCCUCCAAGAACAUUGGCCUAUCGCCACAGAAACUGUUUCCGAGUGGGCAGUCUUUCUUUGAACUUUUGAACUUUGAGAGAAUCUAAUUCUACCCAAUGAUGUGGCAAUCUUACAUUUAGAAUUUGAGAUUACGUUUAGGAUAUAGAUUUCGAAAAUAGAUUUGAUGAAUAUAUUCUUACAACUUACAAGAGAUAUUAUAUUAUCAGUAUUCAUAUAUAGAGCAUGUUGGAUCAAAGGUCUCUUAAAUUGCCAGCACACAACAUAAUUAAUUACAUUAUUCCACCGAAACAUUACAAUAUCAAUCCAAUUACCCCGUACAAUGUUCGUAAUUUUAUUAAUUAGUUUUAGUGAUUCAGCCGACAAGUUCACUAUGACUUGUUGGUCAUGAACAAAAUAUUAGAUUUGGUUUGGUAUAAGGGAUAUUUUGUUACAUUUUCUGGAAAUUUUAUAUUUUGAGAUAGUUUUGUUUGUUUAGUAUUUGGUAGAGUUGUACUUGCAAUUUUCUAAUAUUCAGACUUUCGACUCCUUACAAUAUAAUAAUGUCUCUAGUACUUGACCAGGGCCUUCCAAAUCUAACAUUUUUGGCUUCCAUAACAUUGUUACUUACUUAGUUACUUGCAAUAUUUUGUUAUCAUUGAAAAUCUCAACAUGUUGUUAUUGAGCCGAGAGAAGAACCUUUCAAAUUGUCCCGAUAAAUAUAUCGGCCGCAAAUGAGAUGAUGGGAAAUGUUGAUCUCUUUUUUAGUUGAAGAUAAAUUUAACGAAUAUAUCAUUGCGAGAGAUAGGAAAAGAAAAAAGUAUCUUAUUAUUGGUGUUUAUAUGUUGGAUUCAAAUUUAGAAAUUAGAACCUCUUAAAUUGCUAGGACACAACGGAACCAAUUGCGUUACUUCACCAAAAUCCAUUUAGGAUAUCAAUUCAAUUAAAUCGUACACUGUUUGUAAUUUUAUUAAAUAUUUUACCGAUUCCACCGGCAAGUUCACUAUGGGUUCUUGGUCAUGAACAAAAUGUUAGAUUUGGUUUGGUCUAAGGUAUAUUGUUGUGGAAAGUAUGAAUAAUUGAAAAAUUCUCAAUAUCAUAUCUUGUUUGGUUGACUGGAAUUAAUUGGUUAACUGGAUUAGUUUAGAUGAAAUUUUUAAUAUAUAAGAUAAAAUUAAUUAAUUAUUAAGGAAGUAAUGUGGGCUACCGUGAUUUUAAAUGGAGACUACUCAAAAUAAAUUAUUUCCUUCAAAAAUCACUACAAGAAAAAAUGCAUUAUAGUCGCGGGACCAUAGUCGCAGUGACACGUGUGUGCGACUAGCUUUGUCGCACACAUCAUCCGUGUUGUCACAGUCAGUCUGAGACUGCGACUAAUUUAAUCGCGAGCCCAAUAAUUACAUGCAGGCCUGCGACAAAUAUCGCAUGCGACUAAAUGGCCUGGGACAAAACUUUGCCCGCAACUAAUUUAGUCGCAAUCGACCUGAGACAAUGUUCUAACCUGCGAUGAAAUGGAUGAAUGUCUACCCUCCAGAUCACGUAUUGUCACCAUUCUCUUCCAUUCUUCCCUUUCUCCUCUCUUCUCCUCUAUUUUCUUCUUCUUCCUCUCUUCUGAAAUUCUGCUAAGACGACACUGGCAGCCGGCAGACGAGAUCGAGGGAGGUGGGUCGUCGGUGCAGGAUCCAGUGACGGAGGGGUCGAGCUUCCUGGUAAGUUGUUCAUCUUUUUCUCAAUAUUUGGUUCUGAAUUUAUUUAUUUUGAAAUCUCUGUUCUUCUAUUAUAGGGAAAGGGAAUCAAUUUGAUGCACUGAAGAACAAAUUUGUUGCCCUCUCUGAUCCACUCGGUGAUAGGUUGAGAUUUACGAGAGCUUUUUAAAUCGGAUCUAGAAGCCGUUUCUCCAGUUCCAGAUUCGAACUCUUGUUUAGAGCCUUUUUAAUUAUGAUAUAUCAGCCGCUAAUCAGUGAGACUAAUGUUCGAUUGAUCUGAAACGAUGAUUGCGGUUUACUGGAUGGAUGAAUGCAGGUUGCAUACUUUUGUUGCAGUACAGUGGGCAGAGUCGUUGGAGUAAGGUACAAAGCAUGUGACGGUAAUGAACCAACCAAAAAGCAAGUGAGUGUAUUGUUUGCAUAUCUGCAGAAGCAAACAGAUAGAAAACGACCCGUAACAGCUUUGCCGAUGGAAAAAAAAAUCUGACCUGAUGACGAAAGCUUUUGAUGAUGCUAGAAAGAACACAACACAACAGUCCAACGCUCAUUAAAACUACUCAGUCAAACUACAGUACUAUCUGUUACUAGCCGUUGAUGCUUUUCUCAUUUUCAGUACACAGAAAAAGGUCCAAGUCUUGCAAUAGAAUACCCCCUUGUAUCAGCCUAAGAAGAACAUCAUCAUCCUUAUGUACAUGGUGAACAAAAGAACCAAACCCCACACUAAAUAUUACACAAUUUCAUCUACCAAAUAAAGAAAGAUUCCAUCUUUGUAAAGAAUCAAUCCAAAAAAAGAGAUAUUAUCAUUCCAUCAUGUUCUAGUGUUUUGUUCCUCUGGGAGUUCCAAUGACUUACCUAGGACCAGACAGCUCCAUGGCAUAGGAAUCCAAGGAGCGUUCAUCAUCAUCGUCAUCGUCAUCAGCCAUCGACAUGCCAAGCAUGCAGCUACUCGACCGAUCAAGGCUUCCAUUUUCGAAUACAGUAAUGGUGGUCCUGUUGUAGACAUUGUUCAUGGUGGUGGUGGGAUCAGUAGUAUGAUUGUGGGAAGCUGCCCAUUUCUCAGCUAGGCCGUCCCCUUCGAGCAUCCGGACCACUUCAGACAUUUUCGGACGGUGAGCUGGGAGGUAUUGAGUACAUAGCACUGCUACUUGCAGCAUCUCACCAACUUCAAUCCCAUCAUAGCUGCUGCUCCUCAGCUCUCUGUCCACCAACUCUUCCUCUCUUUUCUCCUUCUGUAUCUUCUUUACCCAUUCAAGCAUAGCUCCUUUCUGAUUGACACUCUUCCCAAACUCGAGGGCUCUCAUUCCUGUAAUGAGCUCUAUCAGCAAGAUACCAAACCCAAACACAUCUGUCUUCUCAGAAGAUUGGCCAGUGGAGAGAUACUCUGGCGCAAUGUGUCCCACCGUGCCACGAACUGCAGUCGUUACAUGCGAAUCGGCAUGGUCAAGGAGCUUAGCGAGGCCGAAAUCGCCAACCACUGCCUCGCAAUAGUCAUCAAGCAGCACAUUGGCAGCCUUCACGUCUCUGUGAAUGAUCUUUGGGUCACAUUGCUCAUGGAGAUACAAAAGACCCCUGGCUGCCCCGAUUGCUAUCCUCUUCCUUGCGUUCCAAUCCAAUGCUGGUUUUCCUGCAAUUCAUCGGAUUCAUUUUGAUAUGAUUGCCAAAACUCAGUAUCAGAACAUCAAUCAACCAAGGACGACUAAAAUGCAAAUACCUCUAAGCCUUGAGGCCACACUGCCGUUGGACAUGUAAGGAUAGACCAAGAGCCUCUCAUUAGCAGUGGCGCAAUAUCCAACCAGCCGGAGCAAAUUUCGGUGAACUGCAAGGCUGAUCAUUUCCAACUCGGUCCUGAAUUGAGACUCGCCAGAGCUUCCAGUCAAGUCCUUGAGACGUUUCACAGCCACGGUCGACCCAUCUCCUAACUUCCCCUUGUACACAUUGCCAAACCCUCCAGCACCAAGUAUGUUCUUCGAGCUGAAGUUGCCAGUGGCAUGCUGGAGCUCUCUGAAGCUGAAGUUUCUCAGGUUCCCUAAGCUUAUUAGUCCCUCUUCUUGUUUGUCUGGAACCAAAAAGAUGUUAAAUUUCAGUUUCGGAAUAUAGAAAGCUUAUUGUGUGUAAUGUGCUACUGUCAAUAAUUAUUACUUACCAUUAAUGUUGAGCACAAUUUCGCUUCUUUGCCUCUUUCUAUACCAGAGGAGCCCAAGAACCAGAACCAAGAAAGAGAUUGACCCAAGACUAACUCCCACAGCAACUCCAAUGUUCUUAGACUUGUGCUUUCCUACAUUUUCAUAUCAAAUUAUAAGAGCUAAAACUAGAAUGCUGAUUUGAAAAACACUCAUAUGGGAAGGUUUGGACCCUACAUUAUACACCAAAAUCGAAAAUAGGUGUGAUGCAGGACUCACCAAAACAAUGAAAAAAGGUAUAUCAAAAUACAAGUAAAGAAGAGAAAAAGGCUGUAAAUUUACCAGGAGAUGAAGCAAGUGAGAAAGGGAGAGGACCAGAAUUGACUGGCCCAAAACAUCCAUCACUGGACUUGCUUCCACAUAUCAGUGGGUUACCAACCACACUGCAUUUAAUUAACAGUGAGCAAAACGACAACAAGAAACCAGAGUCACAAGAAUAUUGUUAAAUCAAAGCAUUGGCCAAUCAGAUACUACCAAAAUAACAAUUGCAGGGUAAACCAUUAUAUACUGCUUACUUGAAUGUUCUUGUGGGAAACUUGGGAACCGGUCCACUCAGAUUGUUAUAAGACAAGUCCCUGCAAAGAUACACAGUGCAUAAUGAUAAUAAUAAUCAAAAGUUGGAAAACAAAACAUGCUACUCGAGUAUCAUCAAGACUUUGAUUUUCUCUUUUCUGGGGUCAGAUUCCUUUUGAUUCGAUUCUCUAGGCACUGAAUUGCAUAGCAUACUAACAAACAACACUAUGCCAAACCAAAAAAAUGUAUGAACAAUGUGGCUAAAGAAUUAACAACAAAGAAAAGGAAAUGAAAAUCUAUACUCACAAGAAAGCAAGCCGUGGGAUUUUGGCUAAGGACAGUGGGAAAGGGCCAGAGAAGCUAUUGUUGUUCAGCCUCCUAGUCUCAUUGCAUGACAAAAACAAAAACCAAAAAACAAACAAAACACAAACAUUGUACAUGAGAUCUCUCCUCCCACAUUAAACAAAUGAAUAAUGAACCCGGAUAAAUUGGCAGAAUUUCAUGGAAUGAAACAUCACAACUUCCUUGUUUUCUUUCUUUUUUCAACCUUCCAAACCGACCAAUUGACGCCGUUAUACUAAAGUUAUCGAUCUCCGUUACUUACAGGUACUGGAGGCCAACUAGCUGACCGAAAGAAUCUGGAACUGAACCAGAGAAACGGUUAUUGGAGAGGUCCAAAGUCUGAAGCUUAGAAAGUUGCCCAAUCUCUAGUGGGAUUUUGCCAGAGAUGUUGUUGUUCUGCAACAACCUUCAAAACAACAAAACAGAAACCUAAGGCACUGACAAUGAAACCAGAAAGCCAAUUCCAAAACAAAGGUUUGAUUUUUACACUUGGCGAAGAUUGGUGAGGUUCCCAAUAGCAGCAGACAGAGUUCCAGACAGAGAUUGACUAGGAGCUCCCCUGUAAACAAAAGAAUGCAACUUUCUUGUCAGUUUCUCAUUUUAUCGAAAACCAACAUAAGGGAAAAGUGAAAUGAGAUGAGAAAAACCCACAAGCCAAUGACAAGAUAGUCAGGGGAGCAAGUGAUCAUAGCCCAGCUACAAGGGUCAACAGAGUCUUCAUCCCAGUUCUUCAAAAUUCCAUGCGGGUCAUCCAAGCUUUCCUUGACUCUGAUCAGAGCCUCAACUGCACAUAAACAAACACAAACCGAAAAACCAUUUGAGAAAUUUUGGGUUUUGGGGAGCUGAAAAUUUGGGGAAAGUUGAGUUUUAUAAAUAUACCUUCAUGGUUGCGAGUCUCGUAGGAGGAACAGAGUGGAUAAUGGAUAAAAAGAGUGAGAAGAACAACAAGAAGAAGAAACUGUUUGGAAGCCAUGAUACUGUCUAGAAUGGAAACAAAUGCUUAAAGGCUUAUGAUAUGAUGAUGGUGAGGAUGAGGAUGAGGGGGAGCCAUGAAUUGUGAAUCUUUUUACACAGAGGAGGAGGGGAGCAAAAGGAAAAGUGAGUUAAAGAACCGUUUUGUGUUAUAUAUAUUUAUAUUUUAUAGAUGAGUGUUGUGGGUUUUGGUUACUUUUUUCCUUUAGUUUUUCACUUUUUUGGCAGUCACCUCCUUUUGCCAGCUCUCUUUCUUCUUUCCCUUUAUCUUUCUUUCUGUGUGUGUGGGUUUUGGGUCUUUUUGAUGAAAGAGCAGCAGAGAUAUUACCAAGGAAGUAUUUUAAGCAGAGAUAUUCUUGAGAAUUGGUUUUGAAAUAUAUUCUUUUAUUCAUCUAAAAUUUUGGAGAAUAGUGGAACAAUGAAAAUUUUACCGGUUUGGAGGGUUGUUUUGAGUUGCAUUUGAAAAAAGAGGUGUUCUCGUAUUUAUGAUGAGCGUUUUAAAAGUUACAGUGAGCUGUUGGAAAACAUUAGACUUGAGUUGAGAAUAAUGUGGUAUAGAUUUGUUGCACUACACUAAUGUUUGUUUUGUGUUAACUCUAACUUUGUUAGUGUUUUUCAGUUAAUGAGAAUAAAUUAUUUAUCAAAAAAAAUUACAUAAGAUUUUAAAUCCACCUAAAAUAUAAGGAGCUUUUUUUAAAGAUUUUGUAACUGAACUCGUGUCUCUAAUUAGGCCAGGCCAAGCAAUGCAUUACAUUUCCAAAAUCACUCUUCAUACUCGUUAGGCAGAGCCAGUAUUAAGUCCAGGAACUGACUUUAUAAUCAUAUGAAGAUCUAAGAUAUUCUGUAAUCAUCUCUAAUUGCAGGGUUAAAGUGUUAAAGUGUAAAUAAAUUUAGAUUUUGAUGUUAAAUUUGGUUAGUCAAAGUGUUAAAUUUAGCUCACUAAUUUAAUGAUUUGUAUUUUCAGAUGGGAUUUUUUGUGAUUUGUGAUUUUUUUUGUUCCCUGUCGUUUUUAUUUUCGUCAUAACAUUUUUAUUUUAAUUCUGAUUUGGAUAAUUGUUAUAUCCAAAUUUCUUUCUUUCAAAAAAGAAUAUAACAAAAUCAAUUUUGACAUAAAUGACAAAAAUGACAAAAAUAGAAAUGGUGAUGAUCAAGUUUAUAUCCACCACUAUUGGAGCAGAAACACUUAUUGAGGUGCUAAAAAGUCAAAUUUAACUAUUUUAUUCGACAAUAUGUAUAGUCUUAAGUAGUGAUGAAGUUUAAUUUAUUAAAAAACAGUAGUGAUGAAGUUUAAUAAAUAUUUAUUCCAAGUUUUAAUCCUUACUCCUUAGCCGAUGUGAUUUACUCUAUGGGGAAAUUAUACACUAACUAUAUGAUAGAAGUAUGGUUACUCAUUGGUUGAGAGAAGUAUCCAGGGAAGAAAAUGGAGUUUUGGGGGGGUUUGUUUAAUUUAUAAGAGGAAGACUAGUGGCAUGGCUAAACUUCUCUCUCCAUUCCUGCAACUGCAAGUUUCAGAAGGCAGAAGUGAAAUGAGGAAAUGGGGAUAAAUGAAAUUUCCCAGAAUCAAUUUCCAAGUGGAGGGGUGGAAAUGAAUGAAGCACCAAUGACCAAAAUUGUAGUGUGUUGGUGCUACAGGGUGGUUUGAGUGGAGCAGAGAGCAGUAGGGGGGGGGGGGGGGAAUUCAAUCCCCCUUUUUUUGUGUUGUUUGCAAAUCCCCAUUUAUGGAUGUUCUGAUUUGAGAUGAAAUGGGGCUCUGUUCGGCUCCUUUUGUCCUGUCAUACCAUAUGUAUCUUCAUUCAUCUCUACUGCAAACUGAAGACAAGUUAGUAUGAUGAAAUGAAAUAUGCAUGUUGUGUCCUAUACUAUAUAUUUUCGUUUAAAAUGUAGGGCUUAGCCGAUAGGAAAUUUAAUAAGUUUUUAUUGCAAUAUUGUGUUUAUAUAUUUUAAAAUUCUCAGUGACUUCUUUUUCCUCUAUGACAUCGUUUUUCUUGGCGGAGGAGUAUGAUGUGAAAUGUGUACAAAAUAUUAUGCAAGUUGUAAAAAGUAUAAUACACCAUUCAUGCAAAGGGUAUCAUAGUUUGUAUCAUACAACUUGUAUUGCUUCACUCUUUGUCUUUGCUUCCCUCUUCCCCUUCCUGUUCUUGUUGUCUUUCCCAAUCAUCACAUUUGCAUGACUCUAUGUAAGUUGUUUGUGAUGGACAUUUUUCUCUUUUAUUAGAGUCUUUGGUUGUAGAUUUGAUUCUUAAUUUUUAUUUUGGUCUUUUUGGAUGUAUAAAGAAUUGUUUUCUUCUCUUUUUUCUUUCUUCUAUUUCUUUAUUUUGUCCUUAUGUUGGUAAUUCAGAGUUGUUGUUCUCAUAUGAGUUUGGAAGCCGAUCGAUGAAUCAGAGAUAAAAAAGACCGUAAUCGAAGAAAAACUUCUUUUUUUUGUUCUUGACAGUGCCCACGGUGGUUUACAUGGCAGUUUCCGAUGUUCUUUCUGAUCAACGACAUCAUUUUCUUUUGUCCGACCAACGGCUGUACCAAGAGAUGGAGAGAGGCGGCUGCAAUCUUUGGUGGGUUGAGAUUAGGGAUUAUGUUGUUGUUCUUUGUGCUAGGGUUUUGCUCUCGGGCUUCAUGAGUUUAAUGGCAUGUUUGUUUUAUUUUUUUGUCUUUUUUUGACUUUGACCUUCCUAUGUAUUUCCUCUUCCAGUAAUAAUAUAUUUUUGAUUUGUCAAAAAUACAACUUGUAUUAUAUAUACUAAGUGAAAUACACUAUACAACUUUUAUACAAGCUUCAUACUACUUGUACGUAUAAUGUACAUAUUUAGUACACAAGUCCAUAUAUAACAAAUUGUGACACAUAGUGUUUAUAUUUAUGUAUACAGAGUGUAUAUAAGUUUGUAAGAACCAUAAGUUGUAUGAUCGGUUGUCGAAAAAAAAAUUAAGAACGUAAAGUUGACGAUGGAAAUUGUUUUUUUGCCACUAGAGAUAGGAGUCGCCAGAAAAUUAAUUGGAAAACAUUAUGAUGAACGAAGGUGCAACUUCAUUUAUUGUUCUUAAUUUCCAUUUUUACCCUUCCAAUAUGGUCAUAUUUGAUUUAAAUUUUUUAUUUGAUUAAAACCCAGCCAUCUCAGAUCGCCGGCUCAUCGUCUCCGUUCACCAUACCAUCAUUUCCAAUGACCACCAGACGACCAUCUUCAAUCAUCAGAAAAUUUCCCAAUCAAUUCCCCGGGAUUAUGAGCAACGUUGGAGAAAAUUUUUGCACCUCCGUGAUCACUGUUGGCGACUCAAGUUUUUAGAAAUAUUUUCCGACGACUGCCUAUACAAUUUUGUACGGUUCAUACAAAUUUGUAUAGGUUUGUACAAACCCGUAUGGCUUGUGUACAAAGUGUAAUACUAAGUGUAAUAUUAUAUAUUGUACUAAGUGUUAUACUUAGUAUAUAUAUCUGUAUGGCUAUGGAAUGUUAAUUUUACCCCAUAUUUUCAGCAUUUAGAUAUAAAACAUGAUUUUUAAACGGCUGAGAUUUAUGUGCGUUUCUUUGGAUCGGAUCGAAACCAUUUUUCUGGCUCAAGAUCCGGAUUUGGAUGAUGAGUGCCAAAUGGUGAGGUGACUCAAAUAUAUUGUGUUGUAGGACAUUGUUGUAAUUGGCUUUAAAAUUCGACCCCCACUCUUUGUUGAUGACCGACCGGGAAAAGGAAAAGAAAUGUAAAUGGGAGAAGGGGACCGACCUGCAAAAUGGUGGUAUAGUAAUGUAAACUGUAGUGCUGCAAAAUCUUUGUUGGGUACUGCGUUUUAUUCUUCAAGCGUGGAUGGAGAACAAGAAUUGAUUCUUCCACCAUACAAUAUUACUUUGAUUGCUUGGCUUUCACCCACUAUCAAUAAGCGAGUGAGUAGAUUGGUUUUGUUGUUAAAACCAUCCCAACCCCCAACGCUCACCCCGAGAUGGUCACUUUAGGUAUAUGGGCCGAUCUACUAGCCUGGGCUAUUGGGCAGAGCUGCUGGGUUGACCCAUUGGGUGCUGGCCCAUCAAGCGUCACUUGAAUAACUUGAAAAAUAAAAGAGCAAAGAAAAAUACUUUUAAAACUUUCCCCCCUAAAGUAAAUGCAGUAGGGACAUUGGAUAGUGGUGGCCGACCCCUGAAAAGAAGAGUUAGAGCACGACCUCAGCAGUUUUCGAGGUCCCCCCCGCACAACGAUAACGCCUGAUCAGAUGAGAAGUAAUAAAUGAAGCUCCCCAUACAUACAUAUCUAUCAACUGGAUUUUUCACCCAGAAGAUCUGCCAAAGCCAGUCGAGUAAUUAAUUGCAAAAGCAGAUAAUAACAUCAAAACGGAAAUCCAUCCAUUACAGCUUUCAUUUGUAUUCAAACUUCUUUUUGCAGUAAACUAAACAACUGUACUAAGUAAUGCUAAGCCAAAAUCUUAAAAGGUCUGUUGGGGAGCUCAAGUGGUCCUUCCGCGAAACAUGCACAACGAAAAUAGAGAGGGAAGCUGUCGACACCCGUCCAACAGCAGACCAGUACGAACAUUAGGGGUUGAUGAAGAAACCAAACAGACCGUCUCUGCUGAAUCGGAGUGAAGAACAACAGGCGAGGUGCAUUGCAAAUGUAACAUAUAUGUAUUACCAACAUAAUUUUGAAACAGUGCUAAAAAUGAAAAGAGGGUCGGCAAUGGGAAAACUUUACUCAAUUAAUUUUGUUACUAUGUGAUAAUUAAGAAAUGAAAUAACAACGUAACUUAAAGGUAAAAAUUAUAAAAAAAAAAAAAAAAAGAGAUUGAGCCGUCCAGCCAAUAUCACUCCCCACCAUUACCCUUGUCGAUCCCUCACCCUUCAAAACCCAUAAUCAACCACAACUUCUUCUUCUUUUUCUUCUUCUGAAAUCAAAGUCCACAGCCAUGUUCUUCCACAAGCUCAUCAACACCAUCCAGUCUCCCAUGAUUACAACAGUCUGCAAAGAUAAAAUAAGUGAGGAAAGUCAUGGAUUCAAAUUCCUAAAAGUGAUUAGGAAGAGGAGGGGUAGGCGGAUUAAGUUAAUGAAUAAUAUAGAAACUAUUCUGAACAUGGUGUAACGGUUCAUAACAUGGUGUCAAAGUCUUCAAAGAACUUAGUGGUCUUCGUUUUGAAUCCUGGUAGCCCCCAAUCCGUGUGUACAUGACUUACCAAAACUGUGCAAACCUCAUUUCUCACGAGAGCUUCUUUUACACGCCCCACAACUCGAGAAUUAUCGAGAUGUAACGGUUCAUUUAGUUUACUCAAAAAAUCACAUAAAUUUGAGAAGAUGGAAAAAUGGCAAGUGAAUGACUAAUGUUUUGGUAUAGUUAAUUUAGUUCACCUAACAAUUGCUUCUCUGUAGAGGGUUGUUUGUUUUUUAUAUUGUCGUGUAGCCAUAAUGAAAGUGAAGGAAAGGUUGUGAAGCAAAGCAAAGCAAUGAAUACUGGAACUAGACAGUUUGAGAGAGUGGAAAAGAUUGAAGGAAAUGAAAGGACAGUUUCCAGACUUGGCCAUUUGUCCUAUCUCAUCCCAUUUCCACGAUGCAUUAUUGUGUCACUAGCUAUCUCAAUCACUUAAUAAAUUUCAUGAAUAGUUCAUUAUAUUAUUUUCGUCCAAGUAAAAUACUAAUCUAUGAUGUAGAAAGAAACAGUAGAGCUAUGGCACUAUUGAGUCACUGAUUGAGUCAAACUAAGCCGUAAAGUUUGUCGAGACAGCCACCAAAAACGAACACACAAUACUCCUCAUACCCCUCACUACAAUAAUUCACAUGGCUAACUGUGGUUUUUUUCUAAUUUAACAGCGGAUAAACCGCUGGAUCAUAUUCUGAAGUUAGGUUACAAGAAUUCACAUAGCUAACAAUGAAUCCCUUAACGUUGAAAAUCCGAGGUUACAUGUAUGAGAAUUGAUUUGUGCAGUUAGGUUUCUGAAUUCUUGCAGUGCCUCCCCCCUAACAUUCAGUUAUAUAUCAAAUCUUUAGGUCCAGUUGCUCUUUGCACAGCAGAUAUCCAACUACACUUUAAAUCACAGUACAAUUUGUAGAUCUGCUACUAUUUCACAAACAUUCAAUUUUUCACUCUAGCUGAGGGGUAAAAAAUAGUACCCCGGGUUUCAUGGAGAAACUGUUAGUCUGUAAAUGUUUCUGCCCUGUGCGUUUCUCUGCUAAAAAUAUCAAUGAAAGCUUUCUUUCUAUCUAUUUAUUGUGCCAAACCAAACACACUUCAAUUUUAGGGCAAUCCAAAACCUGGGUUCAAUUGGGUUUUCAUCAAAGUUGAAAACUUUUGUCAGUUUUCCAAAUCUAAUAUCAUAAACAAUUGAUUUUGGAUCAUUACUAGCAAUAAAGUCUUCACAUUUCUAAGUUUAUAUUGUCUAAGAAACUCCAUUUGAAAUAUGUUAAUGUACCUCUGUUAGAGAUGAGCAAAUGUGUCAGAAUACCCCUCCAAAAUUUUCGAUAACAUAAAUUUGAUGAUGGAAAAAGUGACAACACUACCCUUCUCCCAGAAGUAGGACAGAGAUUUCAGAUUUUGCAUGCAUAUGAUAUAAGCAACAACAUAGGAAUCCGGGAUGGUCGGGAUCGAUUGUAAGACUGUUCGUUUGGACACGUGUACGGUGAUAAGGGUAGGUUUGAAAAUCUAAGAGGGUAGAAAAAAAGACUAAAGAACAGCAAGAGACAGAAUGUCUGAGGAAAAAGUCAGGUUCUUUGUUCAGAAGAAAUUGGACCCAAUUUUCCUCUUUCUUGAAAGGAAAAAGAGAAAAGGAGAAGUGAAGUGGUACCUCAAGGAGGAAAGUUGGCCAGCUCUUAAACCAAGAUGACAACACAAAGAGAUGAUCAAUGAUGGUGAGCCUUUGAUGAUCAAACGGCUCUCAUUAAUUAGCACUGUUCUGACAAAAUUCAAAGUGGGGAAGAAACAAGGAUUAGCAAUAAAUAACAACAAUGUUUGAACAAAACCAAUAUUAUGUUACAAUUUGUCAAAGUGAUGCCAGUCUCUACAGUUCCAUCUGUUGUAAGAUUUCUGGAGAAUAACUAUACUAACAAGAACCCAAAUGGAAUUAGCUAUUAAGGACCAAAACCCAGAACCCAGAUCUCAGAAUGCCUUGUGAACGUUGAGGUUUUGAAGGAAUGGGAAUGAGAAGAGGAGGGAAGAAAAUUGUGGAGAUUACUUACUAGCUUGCUUGCACGGUACAGUAUAAAUUGGUGGAAAUGGUGGAGGUAGAACAGUAUUCCCUCUGUCUUGUUGCAGACUGAAUUCUUGAAACCUUCAAACUUUGAGCUACUUUGAGAAACUUGGAGACAGAGAAGUGGAUGAAGAAGAGCUGAGAAGAGCAUUUGAAACAGAGAAAUGGAGAGUGAAUGAGAGAGAAAGAUGUGGGGGGUAUGUUUUAUGCUAUGGUCUUAAAGUAAGAACAGAGGACUAUAUAAUAAUAAUAAAACAUAGAUAAUGUUUGGCAUGAGUGAUAUUGGGUGAUAUGAAUAUUUAAUAUCAUUGAAUAGUUAGUUAUUUGAGAUAUUUUGGUGUUUCGGAGUUUAAAUAGUUAACUAUUUAGUGAUAUUGAAUAUCGUAAUAUUGUGUUAUUCAAUAUUUAUCUAUAAAGGGUGGUAUUGAAUAUUACCCUAAUAUUUUUCGAUGGACAUAACUACCCAAGGCAAUUUAAUCAAACAUGUGAAUGCUACAAUGGUAAUUUUCUCUAUCUUUAUUAUUACAAAUCAAGACCCACAUUAAAUCUUUAAACUGGUUAGAGUCGCUAUCAAAAUGUUAAUUGAUACUAGUUUUGGGAGGGGGGAAGAAAGCAAAAGAGUUUCUGAUAUGCACAGUCACAAUCUGAUUUCUUAAAACUUAAAGUGAGAGAAGAGAACACAAAAGAAAGAAGAGAAGCUCACUUUGGGUUUUUAUUUCCACUCUACUCUCUACAAAACUUGUAUUAAAGGUAAAAAGAAUGGUGACCAUGGUCCAUGGGGAAGGUGUAGAGAUUGUAGUUUCAGUAGUUUUCCCUAGCUAGUNNNNNNNNNNNNNNNNNNNNNNNNNNNNNNNNNNNNNNNNNNNNNNNNAACCGUACGUACUAUUUUAAUGGUUAAUAAUUAUGUUUAAUUUUGAUCAAUCUCGUAGUCUAUGAUUUGUGAUUUUACAUCCAAAGGGUGGAACAAUCAUCGAGGAGAUCAAGAGUUAUAUGGCGAUUAGAGUUUCACAAUGGAGAAGCACACAAGACUGCUAAAGUUUAUUUUUGGGACUUCCUCACCAUUCCAUAAUCUCAUCUUUCUAGUAGGAGUUGUCUUCUAUUAUUUUGUAAGAAAAUAGAGAUCUCGAAUCCUGAAACACAAUAAUCAAAGAUAAAUUAAAUUAAAUUGAAGAACAUUAAACAUAAAAUUUAAAGGAAUUAAACUCGACAUAAUGUGAUUGUGGAACUUAAUCCACUGUCUUUAAAGAAAGAUUUCCUUUUAACUCACAUGCUUAUAACUAAAAGUCAUUACAAUAUUCCUACGAUCUUUUGACAUUCAAAAUCAUAAGUUGUAACUGAAACGAUCUAAGAUUUAGUAGAUGAUUAUUGAGAUCUUAUAGUUCACAUAUUUUAUAAUUUGAACUUGAACACUUUUCAACUACCCAGAAUUUCAAGAACAUUAGUGAAUCAAAGUCACCAGCCCUUCUGGCUCAUAGACCCAAUCCCCCAUCAUUAUUCUUCAUGCAUCAGAUACGAUUUCUACUCCGUCUUCAUAGAGUGAUAGCAUGGAGUGGUAGAAUGGAAAAAACUAGUAUUCCAUGUUCCCUCCAAAGCCUAUUGCAAGUUGGAUUUUUGAAGCUAAAUGACUGUUUCAUGCUGUCUGACGAUUGGUGUCGACGGAAGGGACUGGUGUUACGGUUGGAGGGCGUGUGAAAUGCAUCUGUUACCUCUUAAGUGUAGAUUCCAAGCAAUGCUCAUUUUAUUAAUAGGAUUAAAGUCUUGCGACCGAUGCAAAUAAGCGCCCGCCUAGCUAGAGGUACAAACCUCUAAAGGCCGCAUGGAGUCAGUUCAUGAAGACACCCAUUUCCUUGCACCCUCUCAAAGCAUUACAAUCAUUUGACAUCCAAACAAAGAAAGUAAACAAAAACCAGCAAACGAAGACAGAAAAUCUGAAGAAAAUUACAAAAACGGUCCAAAACUAUGAGAAAAACUAAAAAGAAACCCAGCAAGUUUGGGAUUAGAACCGCCUUAUUAAAGCCAGCUGAGAGAGAUUAGAACCUUAGAUGAAUAGGAUUCCAACGCGUCAAAGAGUUGGACCGCAUGGCCUAGUGGCCACACUAUAGAUCUUCUUAUUGAGGAAGGUCCUCACAGCACAGAGCUCAAACUCCCAGACAUGGAGGACCUCGAUGAGGUCAACUAGUAAGAAGGUGGUGGCUGUUGGUUGAUUAACGACGGUCAGUUGUGCAGCAGCCGCCGGGUGGGCGGCGAUGAUUGGUGGUGUGUGGCGUGAUGUCGACGGACCGGGCAGGAUCCAGUUGGACAUGUGGCAGGGUGAAGCGAGAAAUAGAGGGUGGCCAUCGUGUGAUCGGUGGUGGCAGAGGAAUGUCGCGAGACAUGCCGAAAGCGGGAUAGAUGUGCCGCAUUGAAGAUCAGACGGAUGCGAGAGGACCUUUGUAAUACCCCGAUUUUAAUUUUGGUGUCAUGAAUACUAUUCUGUAAUCUAUUAAUAUAUUUAGUGGAGUUAGGCCGCACAUCCACCCAACCCAUAAAAAAAAUACAAACUUGUAGAUAAUUAGGAAAGAAUCAGUAGAAAUGACAGCAUAUUCUGUUCUUACAUAGGAAAUCAAAUAUUAUGUUCUGCUAAUAAAUUAAAACACUUUUUCCAAUAUGCCCACCACAACCAUUUGUUGGUUUGACGUCAUGUAGUUUGCUGUAACAAUUGUUCCUAGAUAUCUAUAGUUUCGUGGUCCGUAGCAGUUAAUGGUAUCUGUCUAUCCUUUCAUAGUAUUCACUUGAGUAAGAAGCAAGAUUGCCCAUAAGAACAUCUUUACAUGCAGAAUAAACCGUGGUUUAAUUUCCUAGCCAGUUAUAACUUAUAAUAUAAGGCUCGUCCUUCAGAUUUGAAAUUCAAAUAGUAAUUAGCUGUGAUUAAUNNNNNNNNNNNNNNNNNNNNNNNNNNNNNNNNNNNNNNNNNNNNNNNNNNNNNNNNNNNNNNNNNNNNNNNNNNNNNNNNNNNNNNNNNNNNNNNNNNNNNNNNNNNNNNNNNNNNNNNNNNNNNNNNNNNNNNNNNNNNNNCUGUUUGGUCUAUUUUCGACUAAAAGGAAUUAAAGAUAAAUUAUAUUAUAUGUCUUAUUAAUAAAAAUUUCUAAAAAAUUAUAGGAGAUAAUUAUAAAAAUCACUAAUGUAAUGAUAAAAUUCCUAUUAAAAAUUUCUAAACUAUUUUUAGGAUGGAGUGAAGAAAAUUCAACUUUUAGCAAUAACUCAAAGGAUAUAUUCUUCAGAUGUGACUCCACAUGGCAUGUAAAUGAGGGAACCUUACUUCCAACAAUGAAUUAAUAUGUUUAUACCAACUUCAUUUUGUAUUGUUUAUGAUAAACUACAUAGAAGAAUAUAAAUAUACGAUUUUACAAUUAUUACAUAAAAAAUGAGCUUCCCUGAUAGCCUGGAGCCAAAUAAAAAAUUCCCCACAUAUCAAUAUUCUAGCUUUUGCCAAUCCAAAUCUAUAAUCUAACCCCACCACUAGCCAACUAUAUAAAAGUAAAACCCCCCAUUAUCACCCCCUUACAAACAAAACCCAAAAUACAAAAUUCCCAUUUCUCAAAGGAAAACAGAAAGAAUGAAAGAAUCAUCAGGAAAUUUAGAAGGAGAGAAGAAGGUGUAUGGUGUUCUGAUGGCAGCAAGAGACUCAGAGUAUGUGAAGAAAGUGUAUGGAGGAUACUUCAAUGUGUUCAUUGCUGCCUUUGGUGGAGGAGAAGGAGAAAUAUGGGAUUUGUUCAGAGUUGUGGAUGGUGAGUUCCCUCUCAUGGAAGAUCUUCACAAGUAUGAUGGGUUUGUGAUUAGUGGAAGCCCUUAUGAUGCCUAUGGAAAUGACUUGUGGAUCCUCAACCUCAUUCUUCUUAUACAAACUCUUCACUCCAUGAAGAAGAAACUCCUUGGUAUUUGCUUUGGCCAUCAGGUAUCUUUUUCAAAUAUCUACUUUCGUUUUGUUUCCAGAGUAGCCGAAUAUUUACAAAAAACGAAGACCUAUAUAGCAUUUAUAACUUCCUGCUCUUUUGUAAAACAUAUUCGCUCCAUCUAUCCCAAACAAAAAAUACAAUCACUCAAUUUCAUUUUGGACCCUUUCUAUAAUCUAAAAAGAUAAACGUUGACACUUGACAUUGGUUUGCAAACUUCAGGUUUUGUGUAGGGCAUUGGGUGGGAAAGUAGGGAAAUCAAUGAAAGGAUGGGAUAUUGGGUUAAGAAGGGUGAGGAUUGUGAAGGAUUUGACACCAUGGAGUUUCUUAGAAGAUGUGAAGCAAAUGCCACCAUCUUUAUCAAUCAUUGAGUGCCACCAAGAUGAAGUGUGGGAGGUUCCAUCUGGAGCAGAGGUGAUUGCAUUCUCAGACAAAACUGGUGUGGAGAUGUUCACCAUUGGAGAUCACAUCCUGGGGAUUCAAGGCCAUCCUGAAUACACUAACGACAUUCUUUGUAGCCUAAUCGAUCGCCUUCUUCAAGGCAACUGCAUCGAGGUACCGAUUUUAGUUGAAUCAUAUCAAACUGAUAUGCUAUAUUUGUUUGAAUUGGUAUAAUCGAUCAUGCAUGAGGUAAAUUUUCUUUUUUUUUCCAGACAGAAGUUGCGGAAAGUGUCAAAUUUGAGUUGGAGAUAGCCGAACCGGACAGAACUUAUUGGGAGAAGAUUUGCAAGAACUUUCUUAAUGGAAGAUGUACUAAAUUAAAUUGAUGACCUUCACUAUUUUAACUAUGAUGACAUUAUACAUGUAGUGUUAUAUAUUAUAACCUCUAAGUACUUGAUCUAUCAAUAAGGAAAUCAAAAGCCAAAAAACAAAGCAUUAACAUGAUGUGUAGAUAGCUUUUAUAGGAAUAUGUAGUUGUUGUGCACGUAUAGAUGUAUGUAGAUAUAAUUACAAUCAAUGUGAAAUUUAAGAAAGAAGCAAAUUAAUAACAUUUUGUGUGUUGAAUUUGUUGGCACAUUUCCAACAUGGCAUGGUUGAGUAAAACGCCAGGCAUGGUAAUGGUAAUGCAAUGAACAAUCUUAAUGUGAAAGUGACCCCCUAGUUGUCAAUUGGACAACAACUAACUUAUUGAUUUUGCUCUUCAUUUUAUAAAUACAAUAAAUAUACAUAAAUUAUACUAGUUUUUUCCCCAACCCGUUGUUCGAAUUCAAUUGAUUUCCGUUUUAAAAAAAGCUUUAAUGAAGUUAUUCCAUGAUCAUAUGUCUUAAUUAUUAUAACAUCACGUGUUCAAAAUUUUUGUAAUUUUCGUUUUUGGUAUUCUGGCCUGCCAAAUAUUAAUUAUGAACAAAUUGAAAUUAGAUUUACUCGAGUGUUGUCGCCGGAGCUAGAGAGGCAUUAAUAAAUGGUGUCCCAUCUAAUAUCAAUCUCACUUCACUGGCUAGAGUUGAUGGUCUAAAACAUGAUUCUUUAUUGCGUCUUCCUUUCAUGAUCUACUUAAUUGCUGUAGGAAGAAAGAUUAAAGCCAUGAAAAUGAUUUCAAGGAUGCCGUCGCUGUUUGUUUGUCAUUGAUAAAUGCCUGCUAUAAGAGAUAUUGAUAAAUACAAAAAAUACUCUUUUGAGUGCUGAAUAUGACCGAUCAACAAGGAAAAUUGUCGAGAAUGACAGGAAAAUUAGUCGAUCAGCAACAAAAAAAAAAGAGAACAAGAUACAAAAAAGGGUAAAACUUCUAAAAAUCAACCACACGUUAUGAACCCUAAUUAAGGAAGAGGUUUCAAUCGGAUACAACCACUUCCAGACGAAAACGAACAAGCUGAAUCCAAGAAAUUAUAGUCAUUUAUAAACAAUAUCCAAAUUCAAACCCUAACAGAUCAAUAGAGCUAAAAUGAUUAUAAGAAGAAGGAAACCAAGUAAUACCUUGAGAUCGAGAGGCAAAAAGAGGAUGAACAAUCAUUCUGUUCAAUCUAACUAUACACACAAAUGUAGCACAUUGAAUUUCAUGUCGUCUCCAGAGCUUCUCUCAACAUGCGCAUCAGUAUGCUUGUAUGCCUCGAUCUAGAAUAGAUCAUGUCAGAUUUGGAAUAGGUCUCGCUAGAUCUGGUUGGUCGAGAUUCUUGACUUUCCUUAGUGUGCGAUUUGCUUGCAGAACCUUGGGGGUUGCCGGUAUGCGGAGGCUGUCGGAGGUGAAUGAGUGGCAUCGUUUAGUUCGAAUAUUAGGGCGUCAAAUAGAGAUUCAGUAUACGAAUCCGUAAAUGCUGGAAGUAGAUGUAUAUUUAAGCUGAAGAAAAUCUCCAGGCAGAGGAGGAGAGGAACAUAUACAUCGAAGAUAUGUUCUUAAUCAAGCACAUCAAAAUGCUAUACAAACAACAAUAAAAUGAAAGCAUGAACGAAAGUAAUCUGCCUAACUAUAAUCUCCAUAACAAAAUAACAGCAUCGGCAGCAGCAGCAAAACCAGCACAUAGGACCACUGAUCUUUCUACGCCUUGAAUCCCGAAGAGUAAGAGUUGUCCCUCCUGUUGUUCCUGAAAGCACAGCAACCAACUGAGUAGACAAUGAUGAGGAACACCAGGAAGACGAUGUUCACGAUCGCUACACGCUUCCAGUCACGUUUGAUGUUGUCAAGCAGACCAGCCUUACAGGAGUUGCAGUUGAAGCAAAGAACAUCUGCCUGGUUUUCCCAAGCGUUACAGUCUGAGUUGGUCGAAUUCGUGCUAGUCCCGGUCCAUGUUGUUGGGUUCACGUAGGUGAAUCCACAUUCGUCUGCUGGCUUGCAGCAUCCGGACUGAAACAUAACAACCACAAAAGAAGGAAUAUUGAUCAGUACCCUGUUCAUCGAACUAGUUGAGCAUUGCAGCAGAGACUAAUUCAGCACAAUUUAACCAGUUUGAAACUGACCAAAAUGGUUUCAUUAAGCACACAAAAGCGGCUACCAGUUAAAGAACAAAAGGUUCAGCUAAUAUAUGGAAAGAACCCAGCCAAAGGUUGAAGAUUCAUAGCUACUGAUAGUAGUUCUUCACUAUUUUCUACAAUUAAACAUCGACAUUUUAAGACUUGGUAAUCCAACGGUUAUGCAACACUGCACUGCAUAGAUGAACUUGGCUAGCCCAACUUCCGUUAAAUACUAUUUCAUUGUCCAGAGAUUUGACUCCCUAAUGAAUUCAAUUCACUCAAGAGAACAAAUUCCAUAACCAUUUCUGCACAAUAACAAAUUGAUUCCAGAGAUUUAACAAGUUCCUGUAAUUUCGAUGGUUCAUCCAUCAUUUGCAUAUCAAACCCCUAAAUCCACCAUAUGAAGUCAAAAUAGCCACCGACAAAAUUGAGAUAAGGAAUUGAAACGUGAGAAAAGAGGCAAUCUGGAAAAAGGCAAUCGCCUUUUUUCCCCAAUCUUUACCUGAAGAGAAGACAAUCGCUCGGUGUAGAACUUCUCGACGGAAUCAGAGAGAUAAGUCUCGUUGAACUUGGAGCAAACUUUAGCGUCAAUCAAACAACUCCGGAUCUUAUUCCAGUUCUUGGUGCUAGUGACUCUCUUCUGCAACCAAUCGGAGUAUCCUCCCAAUCUAUACUCCUUAUAGCCACGGUUGGACAGCGCUUGGCCGGCUCCUUUGUUGGUGACAACGAAGGCGAAGAUGGUGAAACAGAAGAGGAGGACGAUGAGGAGGAACAUGACUACGAGGUAGAUCCAAAGCAAGCAGGAGUUCUUGCAGCAAGCUCCGACGAGUCCGGCCAAGGAGACGAGCAUGAGGAAGACUCCGAUGACGAUGAUAGGUGUGUCGAGGAAACGGUCGCACUCGGAGCUUCCAUGGUUGCGGAGCCACGCGCCGGCCCAGAUUAUGGGGAUGGAGAGGAGGAAGGUGAUGAAGUUGAGGAUCCCGACGAGGUUGUUGCUUAGGCGGAACAUGGUGGCUGGGAGGUUGUUUGGUUGCUGAGAAAAUUGGGAGGAGUUUCUUGGAUGAGGAAGGCGAGUGGGGGAGAGUGAGCUAUAUAUAUCUGCUGAAUGGAAGUUACCGAGAAGGAAGAAGAAGGCGAGAGAAGGACCAGUUUGCCGAGUUGACGCGCUGCUGGACGCGUUUCAAUUGCCGCUGUGGUGGAACCUUAACGGACAUAAUCAGCAAAUUUAUUACAGGACGGGGACCUGGUUCAAAUAAUCAAAUGUCAAAUGUUUAGUGAGGGAUUAAUUUACUGAAUUACUAGUUUUCAUAUACAAACACCUUAAAAUUAAAAUUUGAUUUAUAAUUCGAAUCAAAAAAACAUUCCACAGCUUGUAUUUUCAACUUUGUUCGAACCUCUUAACAGCUGAGAUCUAUGGAUAUCGUAAUAUUAAAUUGGAAAGUAAUUGUUUGAUUAUGAUUCGGGUUCUUGAUCAGCCUUCUGAUGAUACAACCGAAUUAGGUGUGUUUAUUAGAAGUAUCCGAAGAAUCUGAUAGGCCUUUCAGUUAAAAUAUUCAGCUUUCCGUUAUAGCCAAACCAUAUGAAGUCGAAAUCAUACAUACAAAAAAUAACUAAAACUUAACGAUAAGAUUAAAGGACACGAGACCCAGUCUUUUAUGUUAAUCAAUCAUUUGAACUAAAUGGUAAAAUCGUAACAAUCUCCUAUGGGCAAUGGGUCUAGGCGGACCAACCAACCGAACAUGGCCAUGCCCAAAAUCUGUGAUGAUAAGAGAGGAAGGACUUAGUCUUUGGUUCAAAUAAAUAAUAACAUAUAUUUACAUUUACAAGUUAUUUAUUUAUUUAUACCAAAAUAUCUUCAACUAGUGGGUUGUCCAUGGUAAGACUUUUUGAAUGACAAGUUCGUCUUUUGGCUAUGACUCUCAGACUUUUUGAAUGACAGUUAUCUAGUUCACCGCUACUGCGAACUAUAACUAGUUAUUUGCUUAUUUUUUCAUAUAGCUAAUUGUAUUAUCAAUGGUAUAAUUAGGUAUUGGCUAACAAUAACUAGUUAUUUUCUCAUCUAACUAGUUGUAUUAUCAGUCCUAUAACAACGUAUUCAAUCAUGUGACUUGUUUUCUUUCUUAACUAGUUAUUUUCCUCCACUAAACUUCUGUAACUAGUUAAGAGACCUGCUGGAAAAAUUGUCAGAGAGCAUGGAUAACAGUCACCAAAAACUUGCUGGUAGCUAAAAAGUGGCAGAGACAUUAUAAAACAAUUAUGAUUUUAAGUGAAAAUACCAAUGUGAAAAGCGUAAGGCGGAAAUAAGGCGGUGAGAUAUUUCUUAUAAAUAUGGAUUGAAAGUUAGGUGGCAAAAUCUGAUAUCUGAAAAUACAUAAUAUUUAUUGUAGAUUAAUUUUUGAAAUCCUUGAUCCCGUCUUUGUGUUUAAAUGACCUCCUUGAUUCUCUUGCCGAAUGAAUUUGUUUUAUAAUACGAACAACUCUUUUGACAAACACUACAUUUAAUGAUGUCGCAGUCAGGUAAACUUUGAGGUUUCCGACUGUUAGCCUAGGUGAAACUAAUGAUGUCAUCACAAGAGCAUCGAAAUAAUUGUGCAUUUUGAAGUUCAAAUUCAAUAAUUAUGCAUUUCACGUCAUUUUACAAUUCCAUACUAACUCAGCGAUUUCACUAUAUUAACUAUAACCACAACUACGACCUGUUUGGUUGUUGUCUGGCUUACCAAAUGAGAUGAAAUAUUUGACCGUAACUUUUUAGUGGUUGAGGGUAGGAAGGACGGAAGGCGAUGAAGCAAAUAAGGCACUAUUUUGAUCCAAUAAAGUUCAGGAAAGUGCUUCAUCAAAAGGGUGCGGCUUCUUCAUUAAACAAUGGCUGAUAGCCGACUGUGUCGCUGUUCCACUUUGACUCAGAUUUACGAUAAACCCCACUACCACCAUAAACAAAUCAUACAGUUCCAACUCUCGCCAAAACAAUUAUCCAACAUCAUAUACAUAAAUACAACUAGUUAACGAAAGAACUCAACAAUCCAUCACAGCAAUCUCCAUUCCAACCAGUUAAUAAAGGGCUCUGGAAUUCUCUCCUCAAUUUGGUCAUAGAUGAGUAUAUUUCUUGUUUAUGAGCUCAAGUCCUUACAGUCAAGGGCCGUGUGUGAUCAUCAUUUCUUGCCAAGCGACUGAUCACUACAAUUCCCAUUCGACAUCAUCCCAUCGCCAGCUGCAGCACUACUUUGAUGAACAAGAGAUCUUCCAUGUGGAUCGACAUAGGAACCACCAGCUACUUGUAGAGGCUGAGAGUAAGCAACUGCUGCUAGAGUUGCAGCAAUGUCAAAAUAUAGAUUAACAGUUAGAAAUGUAAGAAGCAAAUGAGAAACAAGUACACACCAUUGGCUCGCUUCUCGGUGUUCAAGAUUUCGGCAUAUAUGGUAUCCACUUGUCUUGCCAUCUCAAUAAGGUUCUUCUCCGUCGACUGUAGCUCCUCUACUUUAGCUAUGUUGAACCCUUUCUCAUACUUGAAAGAAUCCCUUUAAUGUAAGAAGGGAAAAAAGCAUUAUAACCGGUUAUGUAAGGUUGAUAGUCUAAUCUAUCAAUCAACAUGAUUCAUUAGAGAUUAAGAAAAUGUAACUACACAAUUGAAGCGGGGGUGAUGACAUCAACUAGUUCACUUCAAUGUCAUUUUUGCAGCUGACACUUUUUUGGAGGUUUGAAGUCCGAAAUGGGAACAGCAUUAGAACGACUCUAAAAGGCCCUGCUAUUGUCACACCAGGUAAAAAUCCACAAGUAUAGAAACCCUAUAAUUAGGUCUAAUCUUCAGAGGAAAAGAGGUAAAAAUGGUUAGGAAGCAGUAGGUAAUAGUGACACAAGAUAAUGGUAGCCAUUAAGCUCGAAACUUUAUAGCUAAUGUCUCACUAUGUUGGGAAUUAACUAAAACCAGCGAAACUUUUGAACAAUGAACCAAAGCACUGACCUUAGUCUAUUGUAUUCCUGCCUCAAAUCAUCAAGCUCAGCUUGCAAAUCGGGUAAACCCUUAACCUCCGUACGGACUAUUUGCAAUUCACGGGAGGCCUGCCGAAUUUUAUCAAUUAACUCAGGUCUAUCCUUGACCAAGUUCCGUGCCUCUGUAAGCGCCUGCUUAAGAUCUUCCUUCACAUUCUCAGCAGCCCUAAUGUCUGCUGCAUCCCUUUUCGCAAUCUUCUCCAGCAAAACCCUAAUCUGGAUAUCACUCUCUGUUUGAAUACUCCUAAUGUGCGCUUUGAGUUGCUGUGCCUCUUUCUGAACAGCAAUCAGAUCCUCCCUUAAUGCUGCAUUACCCGCAACCAAUAGCCGAUUAUCUUUAGCCAGUUUGUCGAUUUCGGCAGCCUGAGCAGCAACUUUGUCCUCAAGACGAUCUGGAUGAUGAGAGGUAGGAUCCAACACCCGUAUACCACUCGGUAAUGGUCCUAAAACUCCCGCAGUUUGAACAGAACGUCCUUCUAAUGUAUGAGGACGACGCCCGCCUCCAGCCAUUAUAUAUAAAAUCUUUAGGUUAUUCAAACCCAAACCAUGGCUUAAAAUUCCAAGUUAAACCAAAAUCCUGUACAAGGACAAUUUUGGGAAUUUACUAACUCUGCCAACCUAACAUGACAAUGCAAAAGAAGCUGCAAUGGACUGGGAAAAAGAUGGAUUCUUUACCAUUAACAUGAAACCCUAAUGACAACCCACAAACAAAUUCGAGCAAUUUUCAAUCAAGCUUCAGUUGAAAACAUCAUCAACGAGCAGAAUUGACGAUGAUAACUUCGUUAUGCUCCAAUUAAAAACGUACGCAAUAAAAUAAGCUGAAAGCAGGAUUUGUUGAGAUAUUCAACACGAAAAAAGAGCAAAAUCAUGCCGUUGAAAGACGAGGAAGGAAUCUUAGGAAGGAUAAAUGAGAGAGAAAUAGAGAACCUAUGCAGUGAUUAUAUAGCUAUGGAGGAAGAACUGAGUUUUGGGGCCGGCGACGGAGACUAAUUAGGGAGGAGAACGUGGGUGGGAUCACCAGAAUUUGGUCGUCGGCGAGAUUCCAAUAAAAACAACAUCGCGAAGAAGAGAGCUCAACUCAUUGACCAACUAAAACUUAGAAGAAGAUUUGCCCGCUAGCAUAAUUCGGCCCAUGAAAAUGGCCCAAUUGGACUUCAACCAUUGGCCCAGCCAAAGACCAGGGGAAAUUACCCGUAUAAGAGAGAAAGGAAAUUAAGUUUUGGUUGAACCUUUUAUUCAAAUGUUCGGCCUAGGGGACUGGUUUAUUUUCUUCUAAUUAAUCGUUGCAAUUUGUAUGACACGCUAAGGUCAUGUUUUUAGUCAUUUUAAAAUACACCUUUUUUUGAAAUAUUUGUAUAAUUUCUAACACAUGAUUCAUAUACAUUUAUAUAAUAUUUGAAAAAAAUGCAAACGUGUAAUUGUACUCUAAUACACGAAUACAUGCCAAUCUCAGGUUUUUCGCCUUAACUAUUUGAAUUUGUACAAUUGUAACUCAUGUACGUAAUCAUAAUAGUUAGUGGGAGUCACACAUCGAGUAUAGUGGUAUAGAUGGGCUGACACUGACCAGUUGUGCAUUGGAACUGUUAGUUUGAAGUUGUGGUGUCGACUACCGUCAUCAUCAAGUUAUGUUCUGACGAGACGCGUGUUCGAUUCCAUGGCCACAGCUCAAUUCUCUAAUUUUGAUCUAAAUAACACCACUCUCACUGUUUGAUGAUAUAUACCUUCUACAGUCGGCACGCAAUAUGAAAGCAGCAUACGUUCCUUCCCCACCACCCUUCGACAUAAUAAUAAAUUCGCUCAAUCAUGUGCAUCUGCUGCGCAUACCCACUCUCUAUAUCUCUCACUUGGGUAACUUCAUCUCCAACUCGAUUCUUACCCACUCCACUGCCCAUUGCAUUCUCAUUCCAAAUCGCUAGCUAGAGAAAUGCCUUUUAGAUUAAAUUCAGAAAGGCUGCACAAAUGUUAGUCAUUCAAAAGUCAAAUUUUAAUCUUUAUUUUUAAUUAAUUCCACAUAUUGAGCCACUCAGAUAAGAUAAACUUCCAUUAUCAUGAUAACCCUGUAGGAAUCACAAAUCAGACUCCACUUUCCGUGGUCACAAACGGAGAUUUAUCCUCCAGUCGGCACCACUAUUUGUUGUCCAACAUUUUCAGGAGUUUAAUUAACAAAUUAUUCUUGAAUUAAUUAAUUAACUUGAUCAAUGGCCACACAAUUAUUUUACUAUUGCAGUUUUUGCACAACCAGUACCACACAGACGUCCCACUAUAACUAAUCCGUUCAAAGAAUUUUUUUUCAUGAUUUUCUUAUUCUAAUUACACUUAUGUAAUUGUGCUUUACUAACAUACAAAUAGCGCAAUGCUCUGCUUCUUAACAAUUCCUGAUACAGCUGUUAAAAAACGGGCAACAAUAUCAAGUAAGAAUGGAACGAAUGUGAUAUGAUGUUUUUUACGUAGAAAAUUCAAAUUGGGAGAAUUAUGGAAUUGUAGUCUAAACAACAACUCAACUAUAUUUCGAUGGGAUUACAAGUCCUUUAUAGGCUAGCUACAGAGCUCUAACAUCUCCCGGGAUUCGAUCCGAAGGACUGAUGGUGAUCUGGUCAGAGUUGGUAGAUGGAUAAUGUCUAUCGAGAGACCGAUGUGUUAGGGGAGGUUGUAGGGUUAUCUCACAUCGGAAAGUGAAAGAGAUUGAGUACUAUUUAUAAUAGUGUGAGGAAAAGCCUCCUCACCCCUUGAGUUAACUUUUGAAGUGCAAAGUCUCAAUAACAUCCAACAAUAGUAUCAGAGUUCAGGUUAACAACUCUUCCCGAAAUUCGAUCUGAAGGAUCGAUGAUGAUCAGGUCAGAGCCAGUAGAUGAGUAAUGCAUACCAAAAAACCGAUAUGUAAAGGGAAAAUUAUUGGAUUAUCCCUAUCAGAAAAUAGAAUGGGCUGAAUAUUAUUUAUAAGUAUAAUAAAAAAAUUCAUCCCUUGAACUAACUUUUGGAGAUAAAAAGACCAAAUAACACCUCACGGAUAAUCCUACCGAUUUUUAAUCCGAAUUUCACCAUUUUCUUUCUACUAUGUUCAACUGUAGUUUUGGGGUUGUUCAACUUUCUCUAUGACAUUUUAUUAUUUUCAUAAACAUUUUAUCACCACGAAGAUGAAAUUGAUAUUUGCAAAUCUACAUAACUCGUUGCUAAUUUUUCAUAUACUCAAAUACUUUGAGUAUAAUAUUUUGUAUUAAAUUGUCCAUUGCAAUUCGUUUUCUAGCCAAGACAGGAACAUAAUAUUUCUCACCUCUAUAUCAUAACUUAUAAUUAGGUAAAUAAAUGUGUCUGAAUUAUCAUAAUCUUAGUUUGCUACUCACACUAAAUAAUGUGAACCAAAUGUUUAAAAAAUGACUCAUCAACGAAGUUAUGUUUUUAUUUUUUACAUAUGAGAAAAUUAAGAUAGCAAGCUAAAUAAAAUAUCUAUUUAAUCCGUUAGAUUAUUCUCAACAUGUAUGAAAAAAUACGUAAAAGUUUUAAUUAUAACAUUAUAAACAGCUCUGUUAGCACGCCAUCAUAACACAUCAAAGCAAGUAUAUCUAGGACACACUGCUAAAUUCGCCAAAAACCAUUGUGAUAAUGAUAUAACUUGUACCAUUUUCAAGACCAAAAAGUACAAAUGUACCUUGAUAUGCUUUAGCAAUCUAAUAGAGAAAGUAGAUCUUCCACAUUCUCACGCAUUACCACUCGGUCAGUCAGUAACACUUCCUUCUCUAAUCCGGUAGUCAAAUGGAUAUCAAGAAGCACCAUAGAUUGGUACAGCGGGUGAACCAUUCCACCUCUCAACCCUAAUUAUAUUGCUUACAUGUUGUGUUUUCAAAUUGUAUAUCAUUCAUAAAAAAUUUCAAAAUUUAGAGAUCUUAAUCAUCAAUAUUUACAUAAAUCAUAACUAAUUUUGGUGUUGGUUUUAUAUUUUAACUAGUAACCUAAGAGUCCUUCGUUAUCAAAUCACAAAACACACAUGUAGCUCAUGAAAUUGUAAACUCUAAUAUAUCAUCCUAACAUAUUUAUCUAUCAAAUACGUUAGGAUGUUGAAUGUUGCCAGACAUUUCCCACUAAUGGCAAAGCCUGAAAUCCAUGCGCAUUGCCCACCACUACUAUGUGCCCCAAAAAAGCAAAAUACCAAGAUCAAAAGUGAUCUCUACACGCUUGCGGCCACUUUACUGUACCCACUCUAUACAUAUUGGACCAAAUUUUUACCACAUCUAGCACUUAUAAAUACGAGCUCUGCCUCUCCAUAUCUCUCUCAAACUGAAACCACUUCUCUUGCAACGUUAACAUUGUCAUUUUAGGAGAUUGUGAUCCAAACAUGUCCAACUUGAAGUGUUUAGCCCUUUUGGGCUUGCUUGUUUCGAGCUUAUUUGUGGGGAGCACUGAGAGCCGCCCAGCAAGGAAAGACUUGGGUUUGGACCUUGGUGGGAUAGGACUUGGAGUUGGGUUAGGGAUUGGGCUCGGUGGUAGUGGGUCGGGUUCUGGAGCUGGAGCGGGAUCAAGUGGUGGGUCAUCGUCAAGUUCAAGUAGUUCAUCUUCAUCGUCUAGUUCCGGGUCUGGUGGUGGUGGUUCAAGUGUUGGGUCUGAAGCCGGUUCGUCUGCAGGAUCCAGAGCAGGUUCUGGAGCCGGGUCUAGAGGAGGUGGUGGCGGUGGAGGGUCUGGAGGCGGAGGUGGUGGUGGUGGUGGUGAAGGAUAUGGUGGCGGUGGUGGGUCUGGUCGUGGGUCAGGAUAUGGAGGAGGAUCGGGAUCGGGUAAUGGUCAUGGGAGAUGAAUAAUACUAUGACACUUAAAUGAAAGCGAUGAAUGUAUGAAUAUGAAUAAAAAAAUGUUAACGAUAAAUGUUGUGAGGGAGUCUCUUCUGUGAUGUGUUAUCUAGUACUUUGUUUUCCCAAUAACUUGUGUCAAAAUGUUAUUGUUAGUACUUUUGAUGUUUUGUUCCUUUCUUACGAAAUAUGUUAUAUUUAGCUUGUUUGUCUUUGUAAUGUCAUCCCUCACUUUAAUGGGCACAAAUGGACCUUGUUUGGCUUUCUUAAAAGUUUGUCUUAGGGUUUCAUGGCGUAUUAUUAUGUAGUGUUAUUAACAAAGUAGGGGUGCGAAGGGUUCGGUCGCAUUACGCCGUAAUUUUUUUUAUUGAAUAUAUUUGUCAUUUCAAAUCCAAAUUUUCUAGCAAUUUUCGAGAACCCUUCCAACUAACUAUGAUUUUGGAUUAGACUUUAAAUCGCCGUAAACUCGCUUAUGAUGAUUUAAAAUCCAUUCCCACACUAAAAAAAUAAAAUAAGUGUAAGCCCAUUACAAAUUCCCACCAAAUCAAAAAUUCAAACGCCCUCUAGAUUAAAUUAUCCUGUUGAUGUGGGCUGAUUCAUUUCGUUUAUUGUCCAGUUGUGGUGUUUGGGAGAUGGCUGCCAAGAUUACAUGGAUAUUGUUUGUUUAAAAUGCGAGUGAACUUAAUAAACCAUAGGUACUCUGUGUUGAAAAUGUGAGUGAAGUUAAUACAUUCAUCACUUCAUUAGUGAAAAACCAAAACAUCACCCAUCAUUUACUAGUUAUUUGAUCGUAUAACUUGUUAUAAAAAAACUACAAUUAGUUACAAACAAAUGUAAUUAGUAUUGACACAAUAUAAAUAGUUAUACCAGUGACAAACCAUUAUAACUAGUUAUGAAAUUUGUUCGGAUUCUUUUUGGAGUCUCGCCAACAAUUAUAACUAGUUAAUAGUCGUGUAACUAGUUACAAAUGAUUCUAACUAAUUAUGAAAGGUAGUUGAACCCUUGACAAAGGAGUCUUGCCGUUGAUUAUAAUUAGUUAUUAAAUUGUGUAACUAGUUAUAUACCCCUAUAACUAGUUACGAAAGGUAGUUGGACCCUUGACAAAGGAGUCUUGCCGGUGAUUAUAAUUAGUUAUUAAAUUGUGUAACUAAUUAUAUACCCCUAUAACUAGUUAUGGAAAUUGGGAAACGGUAUUCGGGAUUUCACGGUCUCGUUCCCGUAUUAUUGGAAAUUUUUCGGGAAUUUCCGUCCCAUUCCCAUUACUAGACUUAAAAUUUGGGUUUGGUUCGGGUAAUAAACUUUCGGGUUUGAUAUUUAUCACUUAUGAGAUUUUAUAUUUAUACNNNNNNNNNNNNNNNNNNNNNNNNNNNNNNNNNNNNNAUCAAAUAAUUCAUUAAUUUAUUUCAAAAUACAACAUAUUAAAAAUAUCUCAUCCAAACUAUUCGUAAAAACUCAAACCAGAUUUAUUCAAAUUAACUGCAUGUCUCCCUUCUGACUUUUGAGUCAACUAUCAAAAACAUUUUGAUAAUUAUUUAUUUAUCACUAUUUUUAUGAUAGCACGAUCCAUGCACAUGUAAUACAGUUGUCAAUGUGUGUUUCCGGCAAAAUUUUCUUAUUUCAGUCGGCAAUUUUGUAUACCGUUUAAACGUAUAUAAUAAAUAAGAUUCUAGUUAAUCGAUUCUGCUGGAUCUCGCAGCUAGACUAGAUCAUCAAUACUAUAACCUAACGAAACUUUGACAAUUGGCCAUUUCAAGGUAUUAUGAACUCAACCGCUAAUAAUUUAUUUUCGAGGGGAAAUAUUUUUUUGAUCGUCAACUUUCAUUAAUGCUAGCAGAAUACUUUAUUUUGAUUCAAACAUUAAUAAAUCAAAAUGGGAAGUGCCUAUUCCACACACAUGACUAUAUACUAAAAUUACGAAUUGACUUUAUUUCGUUCUCCCGACAUAACAAAUUAACAAAAAAAUCAAAAAACACAUGACAAACUACACCUCAAAAGACCUGCAACUAACGCCAAAAGAACUACUCAACAUCAAGACUCCAAAAACAAACGCCAAAAAGCACAAAAACAUCAAAAUAAAUACUCCAAACUAUGAAAAGACACCGUCGAUAGGACCUCAUAGUUUAUACGAGAGUUGUCAAUUUUUCAGCAAAGUUGGUUAUCGAAUUAUGUCGAUGAGUAAGUCGCCUUGAGCUGAUCUACAUGUACUCCGGAUGUUAAGCCAAAACCGGUUUUCUUUGGUGUCUCCAACAUCAUCUCCUUCUCGUUGCCCGCCGUCAACACCCCUCGUUCCAGAGAAGUUGAGCCCUAAAUAUAUUUAGACGUUGAAAUGGAAUGGAAGCUUCGUGUUAAAGAAAAGGAACCCAAUUAUUUAUUUAUUUGUAUAGGAGCAUUAUGGCUCCUCCCACUAAGCUAGCUAGCAUAGCAUAGCAUGGCACCCAUGUUCUCUAAUUAAUAAUUUGGUCUUCUUAUAUCUGCUGUUUAAUAACAAAACGUUACUCCACUCCAUGUACCUAUCAUCACUCUCCUUCCAUAAAUUACAAAAUAAUUUAUAAAUCCAUUGAUUUGGGUUCCACUACUCCAAGUUCACGAAGCUUCCACACAUUACAACUUUGACUGACAAAUGGGUAAGUUGUCGAAAUCUUCCCUUUAAGUUUGACCAAAUUACAAAUUCGUUCGUUAUAUUAAAAUUUUAAAAUAAUCGCGCCGUCUCUUUCGUUAUUGGUAUCGAACUAUUGUGUUUUUCCGUCAGUCUCCAUCUAAAUGACGACUAAAUUUGCUGAGAUGACACUUUCACGUCAGCUCUAACCAAACCAACAAUAACACUAAAUUUCGUCGAACCCAGACCAUCCACAACAUAAAAAAACAUAAAUUCCCAAUUUUUAGACCUAAUGAGUUAUGAUUGCUAUCAAUAGCAAAUGCUAAUCGCACCCAUUAUAAUAAAUCACGAAUCACUAAACAAUAAUAUUGACCACGACAUCUAAACAACUUCCAAUUGUACUUUUUUUUAUCAAUGAAACAACUUCCACUUGUCACAAAUUCCAAACGUUGUAGCACAUCUAUCAAACUUGCAUUUAUCAUAAGUUCAUAAACCAAUCAUUCUUUUUAGAGAAAAUACACAUUUAUCUCCUUAUAUACUAUGCAAAAUACAUAUGAACGCCCUUUAUUAUAUUUUAACCGACUGAACUUUGACAAUGUUUACAAUAGGCCUUUCGAUUAUAUUUCCAUUAAAUAUGCUGACGUGACACACCAACUCAGAUUUCAAGCAGGUGUUGGAUGCUGACCUGACUGUAAUAUUUCACUAAUAGCAUGUUUGACGAGUGGAAUAUAAAAUGGAAUUUUGAUAGGAAUGAGAAAGUUAGCUCUCAAGAUGCACUUCGUUGAAAUUUAAGUUAUUUUCCGCUCGAAUGGAAAAAUGCUCAAAAUUUCAUCCCACAAUUAGAAACUAGAUGGAUUAAGAUGUAAUAAAAAGAUGUCGAUGUAAUAUGGUACAAAAGGAUGUAAAUGUUUGUUUUCCCAUUCUUUUCAAAUCAAACAAUUUCACCGCUACAGUUAGUUAUUAUUAAUUAUUUAACGCGUUAACGUGUUAUCAGUUGGCGCCUUCCCACUCUCUGCUAUAUAUUUCCCCUUCUCUUCUUUCCUUCCUUUAGCAGGUGAAGAAAAAUUAAACACGAUCAUCAAAUUUUUUCUUCACCUCUCAAAUCAUAGAAGAAAAAUUCCGCCAUAGUUUCCUUUGCAUUUGCUUAGCUCAAAGCCUCAAACUUUCCCUUCAUCUAAUCCGGCCGCCGGCGGCAUCGACGGGGAGAAACAAGAAGAAAUUUCAGAUCUAUAAAAGCUAGAGAUGCCAUCGUUAGAGGAGGAGCUUUUCCCAUCUACUCCGGGAAAAUUCAAGAUCGACCACCACCGUAGCCACCGCCAAUUCCAUCGAUGCUUCUCCUCCACCAGCACGAUGUUCCUCUGGGCUCUGUUCCUCAUCGCCCUAACAGCAUCCUAUCUUAGCUUCCAGAGCUUCGUCGAUUCGGGAAGCCGCUACUUCUCCGCCUCCUGGGGCGGAAUCCAGUGGGAGAAGGAGGUUCGUAACUCCGCCCGGAUCCACCGGUCCGGCGGGAUGUCGGUGCUCGUCACCGGCGCCGCCGGAUUCGUCGGCACUCACGUCUCCUUAGCGUUGAAAAAGAGAGGAGACGGCGUGGUAGGGAUUGACAAUUUUAACAAUUACUACGACCCGUCUUUGAAAAAAGCCCGUAAAUCGAUGGUGGAAGCCCAAGGAAUUUUCAUUGUCACCGGAGAUAUAAACGACGCCAAGCUGCUGAAAAAGAUGUUCGACGUCGUUCCGUUCACCCACGUGAUGCACCUGGCAGCGCAGGCCGGUGUUCGUUACGCGAUGGAGAAUCCUCAUUCUUAUGUGCAUUCCAACAUCGCCGGAUUGGUAACGCUCCUCGAGAUCUGCAAAUCAGCCGAUCCCCAGCCUGCUAUCGUAUGGGCAUCGUCCAGCUCCGUUUACGGGCUCAACGAGAAGGUACCCUUUUCGGAAUCGGACCGGACCGAUCAGCCGGCGAGUCUGUACGCUGCGACCAAGAAGGCCGGUGAGGAAAUUACUCAUACUUAUAAUCACAUUUACGGGCUGUCGAUUACGGGGUUAAGAUUCUUCACGGUUUACGGGCCGUGGGGUCGACCGGACAUGGCGUACUUCUCGUUUACGAGGAAUAUUUUGCAAGGGAAGCCGAUUACGGUUUACCGGGGGAAGAACCGGGUCGAUUUGGCCCGGGAUUUCACCUACAUUGACGAUAUUGUGAAGGGGUGUUUGGGUUCGUUGGAUACUUCAGGGAAGAGUACCGGUUCCGGCGGGAAGAAGACUGGUCCGGCGAAGUAUCGGAUUUUCAAUUUGGGGAAUACGUCGCCGGUGACGGUGCCGAAUUUGGUGGGGAUAUUGGAGAGGCAUUUGAAGGUGAAGGCGAAGAAGAAGCUUGUGGAUAUGCCUGGAAAUGGCGGCGUUUCCUUUAACUCAGCCCAUACCAGUCAAUACUAGUUAUGCAAGAAGGGAGUUCGGUUAUAAACCGACCACUGAUUUGCAAACCGGGUUGAAGAAGUUUGUCAAGUGGUAUCUUUCCUACUACGGCUAUAAUAACGGGAAAUCUGUAAAUUAAUUAAAAACAGGAUUUGGGGUCUUUUUUUUCUUUUUUAUUGUUGUACUUUUUGAUGAACAAAAAAAACAGAUGAAAGAAGAAGGGAUUGACUGUCAAAUGUGAAGAAUAUCUCAAUUCUGCAAUGAUUUUACAGUUGGCUCAUUGUUACCAGCUUUCAUGAACUUGACUAAGCUACAAUGGUGAAAAGAGAAAAAUAGUGACCACGUACAGCUCACAGGUAUUGAUGCAACUUCAAUAUCAAAAUUAAGCUCUUUAUGAAAUCAAGUUUCACUUGCACCUUUAAAUAGCUAGUUGGCUUUCCUUCUGGAUGCUACUUCCUUGGCCCAAGCUUUGCCUACAUCUGUCUGGAAUUUCCCUGCAAAUUACAUACAAAUGUAACCAAACAUCGAAUUUGAUUAGCCCUUGUGGGUUAAUAAUAGUUAGAUGCAUACGAACUGAAAGGAAGCAACUUUGCACAUACCAGCAGUGGACUGGAAGAACUCCUCCAAAUCUUUCCCUUGUUCUGCAUUAACCAGAUAAACCAGUCCAACUUUCAGUAAAACAGCUGAGAUCAGCUUCUUUAAGCAACUAAUAUGGCUGUUAAUGGCCAAUCAGGCAGAUUGUAGGAAGAAAAUACUCACCAUUUUCAUAUUCUAGAGCCUGAAGAAUCAUCUCCACCUAGAAAUGAACAAAAACAUGAAUACAAAACAUAAACAGUAAGUUAUACGUGAUAUUGACACUAUGUUUGGAUGUCUAUACAUGCCCAUUAAUAACCCUUUCACUAACUUAUCAUCAUCAAUAUAUAUCGCAUACACACAGAUGAAAAGAAGAAGUACCUUGUCAAAGUCCUUUACUAAUUUGGCUUCUGGAGAAGAAUUAUCCUCAUACUCUUUCCACAACUGCUCUAUCUCUUUAGCUACAAAAAAUGCAUAAGAAAACCCCCUCCAACCCAUAAAAGUUCCAUCUAGACACAGAAUGAACAAUCAAAGCAAAGGGAUUUGAUUAUACCUCUUGAUCCUCCACCUAACAACUUGCACAUAUGAUCCAAUGCUUCUGCCUCUUUUCUGCUCUUCUCCUCCUUGGGAACUCCAUCUGAUGGGGUAAUGUCACCAACUAUAGCUGGUUGAAUCCCAUUUGUACCAGAACAAUUCAUUAGUUUCUCCAGUUUCAAACCCCUAUCUGUAUAAUACUACUCAGCCUAAUCUUGACAGUAACCGACCGAAUAGCACAUAGAACAGGAAAGUUUAUUAGCUCCUCUGAUUUUGAGAAUCUUCCAUUGUUGAUACUACUUAGUCUAAUAAUGAACAGCACAUUGGAGAAGAAAAGUCAUUAUGAAAAAAACAAUGCUAGGGAUCAUCUUGCUCAGCCCUUAAUACCUUCCCAAUAGGCUAACAAAAUCAACAAGAUCAUAUCACAAUUCAGUAUGCUUUAUCAACGAUUUCUGAUGAUUUCCUACACAUGAACAUAUUAAAAAAGGACAUACCUUCAGCUAUGUCAUGAACAAUUGCCAUCUUCACACACCUGAAAGAAUCAACGAAAAACCAUACAUUUAACACGCAGCAUUACAGCUAGUAACCGAUCGAGAUUGAAAUCAAGAAAAAGGAAAAAUCCUAACUUGUCACGAUCGAUGCCAGGAAUAUCCGGCAAAAUCAAACCCAUCAAUCCCAUUCUGUACAUAUGAUCCGCUAUCGAUUCCGGAUCCCUAACAUCCCUCUUCACCCAUCCAGCCCUCUUCGUGGUCUGACAAUGACAAUUUACGAUAAAAACCAACAAUCAAAGCAGGAAAUCUACUAACUAGUAGAGCUAAAUGGGAGAACUGGGUUUUGCUUUACCUUGAGGCGGUGGCAGAGUGAGAGGAAAUCAAUGGCGGACGAAGGGGAUGCGGCGGCGUUGGCGGCGUCGGAUGGAGAAGACUCGGCGGCUGCCAUGCGGUGGUGACUGGAGUGAGAUGAGGAAGAUGAAGCGGGGAACGAGUUGAACCGGAAGCGGGCCGUGGGAGCAGAGAAGGAGGAGGAAGAGGAUGAGGUGAGGAAGAGGAGUGAGCUCGAUUUACAGAGCACUGCCGCUCGAGUUGCUAUGAUCCUCAUUUUCCCUUCUUUUUUCGGAUAGUUUACUUGUUUUGCUAGUGAAAUACUUCAAUUACAAAUGGUAUCUUACUAUCUUGGAGUUAUUCUCUUUUUUUAUUCCUACGUUUGGAAUUAUCACUUACUCUCCGAUGGAUCAUGGCACCAAAUUCUGAGAAAAUUUAUGCGACCGUUUAAAUAGAGUUCUGGUUAAUGUUAAUAGCAAUUUAUAUUUUCCGACUCCACGAUUCAUUAUCGCUCUCUUUUCUUUGUGUUCCACUGUCUUGUCCUUUCCGAUUCUUCACUCCUUGGCCUCCCAUGACAAUUUUUUCAUCUUUUAUGGCAGAAGAAAUCUUACAUCAAAUCCAUCUUUAAAGAUUUUUUAUUAAUAAAAUAACUUCGAGAUUACAUAAUAUUAGGAGUUAUUUUAAGAAACCGUAAAUACAAAAUAUUGUUACACUUGAGCUGGUUUAUUAGAAAGAAAAGGUUCUUCCAAAUCAGUUGCAGGUUUCUUAUCUUUUUCACUUUGGUUCUCCUUCAUGUAAUCAUUGGCUUUCCCCCACAAUACUAGGUACAAACCCGUUAUCACCAUCGCAGCUCCGAUCAGCCUAUACAACAACAAACUAUGAACGAUAAGAAAUCCAACAAGGCAACGAAGAGGGAUGGGAGAAUGGAUCACUUACCCUCCCAUGUAAGUUUUUUCGUGAAGAAAAAUGGAAGCCGAGAUUGUAGUAAUGACUGUGCAAAGUGGGUCGAAAAUUGCAGGGAAUACUGGGCCUCUCUCACCAACACACCAGGUCUGGCCCAAGACGGUCAGAACCAAGAUUACUCCCUACAAAAAAUUAUUAUAAUAAACACAUCGACCUGCUUCAGUUGAUUCUGAUUAAUUGGCAAUUAAUUUACAAGACGACAUUGUGUCAAUUGAUUUAUUGGUUAACCUAUUUUAUAUACCAUUUUAAUUAAUACACUUGAGUGUAGAUUAUUAACUGCCCCAAUACAUUUCCACCCUUAUAAGUAUUUCUAUUUCAAACUUCCGACACUCAAUAAAUUUUAACUCUUUCAACCUAUUACUCAUUAAGUUUAGAGCUGGAAAUUGGGAAACGAAAUUCGGGAUUUCCCGUUCCCGUUUCCAUAUUAUCGAAAGAAAUUCGUUUGUUCUCAUUCUCAUUACCAAACUUCAAAUUCAGAUUCGGUUUGGGAAAUUGUAUUUCGGGUUUGGUUUUUUUGCUUCGGUUCCGGGAUUUCCAAAAUCCCAAAGUUUAUUUCACUUACCCAUUUUGUCAUUUAGAUAUUUACUCCAAAAAAUUAUUUCAUUUAGUCCAUAGAGGCACAAAAAAACAGAAAUUUCGGAAAAAACGUAAUUCAAGACCCCAAAUCCUGAAUUUAAAUUUCCGUCCCGAACCAAAUUUCAAAUAUUCAAGAUUCGUGAAUUCAGAAUUUUGAGAUUUCACAAAUUUGAAAACGGGGUCCCAUUCCCAUCCCAAUUUCCUGCCCUAAUUGAGUCUAAACCAUGAUCUCUUUAGCCCAGCCAUCUCACUAUUAUGAAUUAUAUUUGCUACUCAGUCAAGCAAUGAUGUUCAUAUCCAUUUUGAAUGCUUGUAUAAACAUUUUUUUAUCAUUCCAUAAAACUCAUCUUUAAAUCUUUUUCAUUAGAACCAUGUUGUGUUCGGCCGUUAACUAUAAGAGAUAUUAUAACAUGGUAAGAAAUGGUAUAUUGGCCCAAAAAAGUUGUAAGACUUCUGAGCUUACACUGUAGAGGCAGCAACCAAGUUCAAAGAUGGAAUUGAGUUUCCAAGCUGAAAAAUCCUUCUCUAAGAACAAAGCUACCAUUAUUGAUUGUAAUGUGGCUAGUAAGCAACACCAAGCUGAUGAAUAUAUGAUAUCAGGACAUGUUGCAGUAAUUGGAACCUACCAAGCACAUAAUUCACAAUAUUAUUUCAAUUGAAAUAGAACUUUACAGUCUUGGCUAUCACAAUUUCUGACUGAUUACCUGCAGGAUUAUCCACAAGGACCAUAAGAAGCUGCUUGCAAGCAGAAGAAGACAACCCAGUAGCCAAUUGUUAUCAUCAGAUUCAGACCCCAAAAGCUGAGAGUUUAGAAGCUUAGAGCCUUUCAGAAAAGCUAUGGCCAUGGCUCCAACUACACAGAUUACAGUUCCCACAAUUUUUGCACCACUCCUCAGGCUUCUAUUGUCAACUUUCUCCAUACUUUGAUCAAAACCAAAAAUCUCAGAUAUAUUAACAUGUAGCAAACUGAUUACCAUUUGCUAUGAGUAAAACAAGGAUAUAAUGGGUUCCAUCGAAUUCUCACCCAAAAAUUGCAGCAAGCACAAAUGUGACUGCUGGAAUGAGAUUAAUAAUUGCAUUUGCAGCAGUGGUAGAAGCCAAGUUCAUGCCUUGGAAAUAUGUAUUCUGAUUGGCUGUCACCCUGCACCAACAUGUUCAUUUAUAUCUCGAGAUCUUACCGGUGAGCCAAAUGAUCCAACACUCUUUUGUUAAUGAAUAAUAUAAAAGUCAAUAUGAACUUCUCCUAACUAUUCGAGCUAUUAGGAAGUGAAGGUUCAUGAUAUGAUAUCAAAAGCCUUUAAAGAUCGAGAGGUCUCCAUUUCAAAAUUCUGUAGCCCCCAAUAUGUACGUGCACAUGACUUAGUGAAGUUGUGCAAACCUGAUCAGCUCUUCUGAGAGCUUCUAUUUGACGAAGCGCGUUAAUGAAUAAUACUCAGGUUAUUGAGAUGCAACAAAUGAUAUCGUUUACAGAGUCAAAUAACUAAAAGUAUAAGGAAUGUACCCAAAGAGAGAGGCUGCAAAUAUCCAAGAGAAGCUCUUCAAUGUCAAUGAAACUCCAGUUGGAUUCUUGCUGUUGGAGAUGAAAGCCAGAGGAAUCAUGAUCAGAGUUGCUAUGGCUUGUCUAUAAACAACAAAGACAUUGGGACUCAUCCCACCCAUAAAAGCUCCCUUUGUGAAGAGUGCAAGCCCAGCAUAACUAAACUCCAACGCUAUCAUGAUCAUCUCUGGCUUGUAAGAACUCAUUUCUGAUCUAUUUCUUGAUAUCAAUAUUAUGAUUAUUUCUGCAGGUUUUUGGAUUUCAGGCUAAACUUCUUUUAUAAUGUGACUGAUAAUAAUAGAGCUAGUUGGGGAUCGCUUUUCACUGUUACAAAAUGAUUCAAUAUGUGGUCUCUUGUGUUUUAUUAUGUUCAGAGAAGAUAAACGAACAAAGUGAAAUCAUAUGUUUGUUUGUUGUUAAAUGAGGAAAUGAGGAAAUGAGGUUACAAAGUGAAAUGUUAUUUGAAAUAGUUAGUUAGGGCUAAAUUCCAGAUAAGAGCCAAUCGUUUAGAGAUUGAACGUCAAAAGGCUGACUUCAUAUGUAGUGAUAGUUUUUUCCUAAUAGGCCCUAACGAUACGUUGGUCACUCGGCACAACUCUAGAGCGACCAUGUCUAGAAGGAUAUCAGGUUUAUCUAAGAUCGCUUAUGUUCAUACAAGUUAGUUCAAUUGUCAUGAUCACUUUGAUGAGAUCGACUGUCAUGAUGAAAUCACACCAGCUUUGUAUAAACUAAAAUACUGCUCUGCUACCACAUUAGAAAACUGACUUUCACAAUUGCAGAGCGAACAUUCCUUUCAAUACGUAUUAUUUGUCAACUUCCCUUCGAUCUCUACUCUCUCGAGCUCCUACUCUUAUGUCACUACUAGACUUAAUUUUAUUGCGGUGAAUCCAUACAAUACAAGUGUUGGAUCAAUCGAAGACUACACUACCAAUUUCAACAACCAAAUGCCCAACACCUUCAUUGUCCACCCCAAGCGACAGAGGUCGAAUAAAUGAGUGUUACUAUUGAAAAAUUAAAUGGCUUCAUGUACAAGAAAAUAUGAAAUUCACCAUUACUUAUUUUUUAAUAACCAUACCAAUAUUAUUAGGAGUAAUUUUUUUUAAGAAAAAAUGAAAGACAUGAAAAUGAAUGUCAUGAACUGUAGUGUGGGAUCAAAAGGUCAAUUGGAAAGCUGAAGAGUAUCAUAAAUUAUGGAACAAAGAUAAUAAGUAAAAUAAUUAAUGGUGCAUGAUUAAAGAAAAAGGGGCGAUAGCUGAAAUAAUAAUAAUAAUAAUAAUAAUAAUAAAAAUAAUAAUAAUAAUAAUGGUCCAACACCAUACUUUUUAAUCCGCAGUAUUACUGUCUUAGUAGGGUUCCAUUCAAUUUCUCCAAGGAUAGCAAUCUCGAGUGGGAGCACAAAUAAUCAGGCGGACUACUUGCCAAUCAACAGGGGCAUCAAUCUUUAGUUACUGAAAGCAUUGGGGUUGGUGGUUAGUUCGUAAUGCGGAUGUAAUGCCCCGCUUUCGGGUUAGUGUGGUUAUUAGACAAGUAUGAUUAUGCAUGAGCAGUACUGAACCAUGGUUUAAAGAAGUUCAUUGGUUGACUAGGUAAUGGCCGUCGACCAAGGAAACAACAUUAACACCCUUGGACUAAUUAACGGGCAUUGUGCACAUGCCGGGUUUGGUUCGUUUUCAAAAUAUUGAAGUAACGUUCAAACCGCUGUUUACUCAUAACCGAUUGGUAAAUUGCAAAUCAGUAGUUUAACUAGCUAUGCCGGCCGGUUUGUUGUUGUUGCUACAUAAUUAUGUGAUGUCGGAUCGGCCGAGUGAUCGGUUUGCAAUCAGACCGGUUGAACCGUCCAAUUCGAUACGGUUUUUAAAACACUGGCACAAAGCAAAUAUCACAACCCCUAAUAUUUUGUUCCUCGUGUUCUCUCAACAGACGCAACUCUCUUCAAUCCAAAUGGUGAGUCAACUCCCUUCGAUCAUCCUGAGACUUCAAGGUAAACGUAAGGAGCAAUUAUAACUAGUUAUAAUCAACUAGUUGAGUAUAGCCGCUACUAGGCUAGUAAAGCCUAGAGCUUGAUAGUAUCGGUAGCCCAACCCGAAUUCUGGCUAAACUCUUUUAUAAUGUGACUGUCUUGGGCAGACUGGGAAAAAUGGAGCUAGUUGGAGGUUGCUUUUCUCUAUUAGAAUAAACGGUGUAUGCGUCUACUCAGUAUACUAUUUCAUAUUUUCAACAUGUCUUUUGCUUAAUAUUAAAUAAAAUUAAUUCAUAAAAUAUUAAAUAUUUAGAUGUUUUUAGCUUAGGCUUUAGAGUUAAAGGAUGCAAUAUUAGGGAUUUAGAAUGUGUUUCUUAGCUUUAUAAUUUAUUGAUAUGGAUCUAAGAUUAAAAGUUACUGUCUUGAACAUGAUUUUAGAAUUUAGAUUAUAAUAUAAUGUUUGAAGGUUAUGAUUUAGUGUUUAGGAUGUUUAUAUUAUUGUUUAAUAUGAUUAUGCGGCGACCUCCCAACGAGACCUAAAAUGGAUACCUAGUGACAUGCCGACCUCACUACAAGGAGAAUCAAAAGCCUCGUGAUAGGGGAAUCAAAAGCCUACGCUAUGGUCCAAACCUUUUCUACUAAUGUGUUCAAUAUCCCAAAACUGCCACUAAAAUAAUAAUGUUUACACUUCUGUUGGUUUAUGAUCAGGAAGAAAAGGUUGUUCCAGAUCUGCUGUAGCCAUUUUCUCCUUGUCGAUUUUAGUCUGUUCCUCCAAAUCCUUUGCUUUCCCCCAGAGCACCAUAUAGAGCCCUAUUAUCACCGCUAGACCUCCGAUCAACCCUCCCAAGUAAGUUUGUUCGUGGAGGAAAAUUGCAGCAAAGAUUGCAGUAAUGACCGCGCAAAGAGGGUUGAAAAUUGCAGGGAACACUGGGCCUCUCUCACCAACACACCAAGCUUGGCCCAAGAAAGACAGUGCCAAAGCUACUCCCUGCUUUAAACACACAUGCAAUUUGUAAGAAAAUGGCAUAUUGUGGGAAAGUUGGAGCAAAAAGAAAUGAUGAAAAGAGAAUUUAGAUCUUACCCCAUACAAACAACAACCGAAUUCAAAGACGGAAUCGAGUUUCCAAGCCGAGUAAUCCUUCUCCAGGAACAAAGCUACUGUCAUUGAUUGUAUGGUAGCCAGGAAGCACAACCAUGCUGAUGAGUAUAUCAGAUCAGGGCAUGUUGCCGCUAUUGGAACCUGUCCGUAACAAAUUUUAAAGUUCAAAAGGGUCGAGUAUACUGAUCGAUCGAGUCCGGAUUUCAAGCUAGAGAAUAGCUUCUGGAUCUGAUCCAUAAGGCCCACACAAAUUUCAGCCGUUUAAAAACUGGUCCUAGAUCUAACGGCUGAAAACAUGGGGCACAAUUGACUUUUCACAUCUAUAUAAAUGUGCAUACUAAGUACCAUACUAAGUACCAUACUAAGUACUGUACUUAGUAUUAGUAUCAUACUAAGUACCAUACUAAGUAUUAUACUUAGUAUGAUACUUAGUAUAGUACUUAGUGCAAUACUUUGUAUGUACUUAGUAUGACGCUUAGUACAAAAGCCGUACAAAUGUGUAUACCCUUUUGGUCAAAACCUAUACAUAUUUGUACGAUCCGUACAACUCUCCGCACAAAGUUGUACGGCUGAUCGUCGGAAAAUAUUUCUAAAACAAUAAAGGUUUUCAGAAACGUUGAGCUGAUGACCGUGAUCACGUGGGUACAUAAAUUUUCAUCAACACAAGUCGGAAUCGUCAAAAAAUUGAUCGUCAAAUUUUGGUCCAACACAAACAUUAAAAAAUAUGACCAUAUUUCCCUUGACUAAUCUUCACCAUCAUAUCAUGUGGAGAUUCAAGUGUCCAUAUUGGUCAUGCGUCGGAUCUAAAAACCAAUGUCAUUGGCUCCAGAAUCGGACUCUGAUUGAUCAUUGAAUUACAAAUGUUUUGGUUCGAAUUACCUGAAGAAUUAUCCACAAGGACCAGAAGAAGCUGCUCGCAAACAGGAGGAGACAACCCAUGACCCAAUUUCUGUCAUCUUCUUCCGAGCCAAGGAUGAAACCGUAAUUUAAGAGCUUUGGUCCCUUUAGGAAAGCCACUGCCAUGGCUCCAACUACACAGACGACAGUCCCUACAAUCUUGGCACCACUCCUCAGGCUUCUAAUGUUGAUUUUCUCCAUCCUGGUCAGUAAUCAAUCGACAUCUUUGAUCACAUUCUGAAUUCAAUAUAACAGGUUAUAAGAAAAGGGUUCAAUUGUUUGUGUUUGUGUCUCACCGGAAAAUGACUGCUAGUAUGAAAGUGACUGCUGGAAUGAGAUUUAUAAUUGCAGUUGCAGCAGUGGAAGAUGCUAAGUUUAUGCCUUGGAAAUAUGCAUUCUGAUUCCCUGUCACCCUGCACCAACAUGUCGAGUGAAAAAUCGUACGUACGUACUCAUCGGUUAUAUAAAGAUUCAACUGUGAAAUUUAAACUGUUAAUCAGGUUGUUUGAUUUUGUGAUUUGAAUGAAAGUUACUUCAAAUAGUAAAAUAUUUGAAAUGGAAGGAAUUUUAAAUAUGUAAGUGAACACUUCAUCAAUGGAGUUUUAGGAAAUAAAAGAGAAAUUUUAAUAUUUAUAAAUAAUUAAUAAACCUCUAAUUUAUCCAUCCUUCAAAACAUAAUAAGACAAUUUAAUCAUUUUCUACUCAAAUCAUUUGAGAUUUGACAAAUCAUUUAUUCAUGAAGUGGAUUUGAAACUGCCUCUCAAAUCACUUGGGGGCACAAAAUAAUUUCAAAUCCCCACAUUUUUUUCAUUUUCAAACUUGCUAUUUCGACAAAAUCACUCGAACUCACAAUAUCAUUAUCCAAAUCCAAAAAAAAAAACGUCUGAUUUUUACGGGAAUGUACGUACCCAAAGAGAGAGGCAGCGAAUAUCCAUGAGAAGCUCUCCAGUGUCAAUGAGACCCUAGUACUUGGGUUCUUCCUGAAUUGUUUCAAGAACACAUUGAAUUAACGAUAAGAAAACACAUAAUCCAAUUGGUGGGUAUUGGAAGUAAGUUGUUUACCUGCGUGAGAUGAAAGCUAGAGGAGCCAUGAACAAAGUAGCUACGGCUUGUCUGUAAACAACGAAGAUUUUGGGACUCAAGCCACCAAUAAAAGCUGCCUUUGUAAAGAGAGCAAGCCCAGCAUAACUAAUUUGCAAGGCAACCAUAACCAUUCCUGGCUUGGAAGAAGAACCCAUCUCCCUGCUGGUUCUUCUACUUGAUAAGAUUUAGUGAUUUAGGAAUAAACCGUAUCGAUUUCAGGGUCCAUAUAUAUAACUGAAGAUAAAAGCUGACUGUAAUCUACUGAAGGACUUAUUCGAAGAGAUAUGCUCUGGCACACCGAUAUGGCAAUAUUUGUUUAUAGUAAGCUGUUCGAUAGUAAAGGUUUAUAUUUAAUAGAAUAUACCAAAGUUGUUCUUUUUAAAUUGUAACGCAACACUCCCAGAAGCUUCCAAUUAGCUGGUCCAACUAAUGUGAAGAUGGAGUUUAAAUUUCGAGUUAAAGAAAUGGCUUAUGAAUUUCAUUCAGGAAAAUUGAACAAAUUUCAGCGGUCCAAAAAUCAUAUCAUUGAUCCAAUGGUUGGAGACACAGGGGUGAAACUGACAUUUCACACCAAACCCUAAUAAUUGUUGUCGUCUCCAAAGCCAUACAAAUGUGUAUACUAAGUACUAUAUGAUGGUACCUCUUGAUAAAAGAAGUACUCUAGUAUGACACUUAGUAUUACACUUUGUACAAAGCCAUACAAAUGCUUAUACAAUUUUGUAUAGGUUUGUACAAAUCUAUAUAACCCUCUGUAUAAGAUUGAAUAAUCAUCAAAAAAACUACCCAGAUUAAAUGUAUUUUUCCAGUAACGUAAGACCGACGAUAGUAAUCAUGUGGGCGAAAGAAUUUUUGCCAACGAAGGUCAGUGUAACCAAAAAACUGAUUGGGAAACUUGGUGGUCUGGCCAUCGAAGAUCGUGGUUCAAUGACCGUAGCUAGUGGUCCAAUGAUCGGAAAUAGAUGGGUUAUGUGUCAAUAAAUAUUUAAAACAAUAUGACCAUAUUGCUCUUAAGUAAUCUAUACCCUUAGAUCAUGUGAAGAUCCAAUGGCCCAAAUUAUUCGUAGAUAGAUCCAGGAAGGAAAUUCCUUCACACUAGUGAAGAUGUGUCAGUCGUCCUUAUCUAGAUUCCAAAUUAUCUGAACUGUCCACCACAUCUCACAUGACUCAUGUUCAUGUUUUUUUGUCUUGUCAUAGAUGAUGACUCAUGUUCAUGUUAUCUUUACUAAUUAAAGUAAGUAGUUAUGGGUUUUCGCAUGAGGUGAUGCUUUUGGUAGUAAUUGGCUGUGCUUGACAUGCGCCGCGUCUCUCUUUAUAUCUUAUAUUCCCGCAAAUCAUUAGAAAUAAGUAUCAAAGACUAAUCAUUGAGUGCCAAUUUUGAAUGUAAAUCAUUGGAUAUAAGUAACAAUACUCAAAUUGGCCCUUUUACUUCAAUAAAUAACCAAUGACCUCUUCUAUUUGGGGUGUUCACAUUAACAGUCCCGAACUUUUCAAAUAUUUUCGUAACCAUACCAUGCCAGUUCAAUCAAAUUUUUCGGUCCAAUUCUGUUACAAUUUUUCCGUGCAUAAAUGAUGUAGAACUGAUUGAACUAAUCCAAUCAUCAAAAAGAAUAUUAUUUAAUUAAUUAAGAAAAUUAAAAAUUACAUAAAAAAAGAAAAAAUAUAUUGUUUUCCGUCGCCGUCUCCACUCUCCCUUCCUCAUCUCACAUUCUUUCGACCUCCCUCAGAGCUGGAAAUUGGAACGGAUUCCGUUCUUGAAUUUUUUAAAUUCUGAAAUCUCGAAUCUCGAAUCCUGAAUUCCUGAAUUUCAAAUUCUGUCAAAAAUUUUAAUUCAAGAUCGAGAAUUUAAAUCGAAAUUUGGGGUCCCAAAUUGAUUCUUUUUCCCGAAAUUUUUGUAUAAUUCUGAAAUUUUAGAACCUCAAUUUUAGAACUUCAAACACCAUUACAAUUACAAUUCUUCAGACACCAUUACAACUACAAUAACUCUAGAACUUCAAAACUCAGACACCGUUACACCUACAAUUUUUUUAGAGCUACAAUAAUUUUGGGAAAAAAUUUACUAAAAAAGUCCAACCUAUUCAAAAUAUACACGAUUUGACACAUAUUUUUAGAAAUACUAAAUAUGACACCAUUUUUAACGCUAUUAAUAGAAUUUGGUCAACAUUGACGUGGAUUGUUAGAGACUAGUACCUCCAUUCUAACUCUAUGUUUUUCAACCUAAAGAAAUCAGAGGAGAUGAACAGUCUCUAAAUUUCCUGCCAUGUCUGCUAAUCAAUGGAAGCUGAUCAAAAGAAAAAAGAGUUAAGAGGAGACACUAGUCUCGUCAUUACCCAGGUGGAGGUUUCUCGCCAUAUUGGAAUGUUAGAAAUGGCCUCAUGUGGAAAUCAUUCUGCCUCCACGUUAAACACUCCUCUUAAAUAACCACAUGCAGAAGGUCAUGGUUAACCUCUCGUACCAAUGUCAAGGUCUUAUGUGGUACCUACCAAUAUGGAACAGGUGGAGGUUUAGGUAUUGGGUGUAACACUACGAUUCCGAGUCAGUUUAGGUUUUGGUUGAGCCAUGAAGGAUGGAAAUCGUGGGUUGGUUGAUGUGGUUAGGGAAACGCCCGUUGGUGAGAACACAGACGUUGCCUGGACGACGGUCGUUUCUUAUAGUUGAGGCAACAAGCGUUGUGUAGAAACGACUGUUGCGUGUUUAAUUAUAUAAAUUAGAAUUAUUCGCUUGAUGCAAAAAGUUUUAAAAAAUAAGUAGAGAUAGACGAACUUUUUUUUGUUAUAGAAAAUAUAUAUAUGAAAUAAUUUUGUAAUUAGAAAAAUGAAAGGUGAGACAAUUUAAGUCAUGUAAAUUGAAGAAUGAAAAAUAAAGGAUAAUAUGUGAGCUCAAAAUAAAACUUUCAUAAACUCAAAGUAAAGCCCUCGUUAGAGAACCAAACACUAUUCAUUCAAUGGUAUAUAGUAAUUCAUUUUCUCCUUUUAUAAAUAGAGCUAGAAUUUGUGGCCGCGCGAUGCCGCGGAGGACUAAAUAGAAGUUGAUAUGAUGCUUCUUACCCGUGUGUGAAGACAAAUACUUAAAUAAUUACAAAAGUAAUGUGACGAUAAUUGGUAGAAUGGUCAAAUAUAUUGUUGUCGAGUGGUUGUAGCUCUUGCCAUUGUUCACAAAGAUGCUGAGUUCAAAACCUGAAAUGCGUGAUUAUUUCGGCUCAUGUAAUGGAAUCACUAGUCUAUCCUGAGUUGAAGGUCGACAACUAGCUCCGUAGUUUGCCUAGUGACGGGAUCACUAAUGAAAACCUUUCCAGUGACGGAAGAUAGUGGUGAAAUUAUUGAGUUAUGGGCCACAAAAUUAUUUAAAUAUUAUAUAAUUAUAUUACCAUUAAUUAAUUUAGGCCUUUAGGUCAUAUGAGGUUUUAAGAGCUCAGAUUGAUUUUGGAACAGUACGCAUUUUGACAAAAAAAAUCGGAUUUAUCUUUCCAUCUAAUUGUUGAAUCCUCGCCAAAGUUGAGAGUUCUAUAUAUAAUAAUAGAAUAAGAAUUAUUAUUACAUCAAGAAAGUAGAAUUCCCUCUAACCAAUCCUAUAUAAACAUUAUGUGUAACAGAAAAUAUCAGACUUAUAUUUACUCCAUAAAUUUAACUGUUUUGUGACUUUAUACAUUCAUUCUUUCCAUUUUAAAAUAUGCAUUAAUUUCUAACAAAAUAUAAUACACAUUAAUUAAGUAUUUAUAUUUCCAACUUUUUGUUAAUUAUUAUAUCUCAACUUUCUUAACACGUUACUCAUUAAAUCAAAAUUUUGAUAUGUCUAACCACUUAUAUCACAAUUAUAUUUGGUAAUGAACAAUAGCAAGUCAAUGAUAUCCAUAUUCAAUUUCUUUUCGGUGCUUGCUUAUGUUCUUAAAUGUUGUAUAUGCAUUUCUUUAUUAUUUGGUUGAAUUCAUUUUUAUAUUUUUUACACUAGAACCAUGUUGUUUCCCAAAGCAGAACGCGAGCUAUUUUUAGUAGUUCAUUUAUUCCUAUACUUAGAGGUUUAAUUUAAUACUUUCCAAAAUGAAAAAAAUUCCCUUUAAAUGUUGUCCAAUCCAUCAUGUAAUGUAACCAUGUUAUGGUACGAUUUCACACACAUAGGCAAGUCUGAGGAGGCAAACACAUGUGGUCUUGAUACACCAUGGCAUGCACUCCCGAUGGGGACCUAGCUAGGGGGGAACUUGUAAGGCUCUGCCACACAUCAAUGAUGCUAAUGUGGAUUGAGAGAUAACAGUUGUGGAGUUAUAUUUCAGCUGCUCGAUCGUAUCACUUGGCUGGUAAAAUUAGUUGGGAACUUAGAGGACAAAAUUGAUUGUUGCUGGGGUUUAAUAUGGUCCAUGGUUUGUGGCCAUGGAGCAGCCAUGCAUGAAUCUGACUCGAGUUUUGAUUUUUGGUACGAAACAAAAAGGCUAAGCACAACUCAGUCUAUUCCAAGUACCAAAAGCCUUGGCUGAUAACCAGAGAUUGAAAUCCUGACAAUAGUAUUUAUGAAUGUUUUCUCCGAAAUUAUUUGGUUUACUUUUACAGACUCUGUAAUGAACAAGUAGGUCGUUAAAUCUUCUACACUAGAACCUAGCCAUGGGUGGGAGCUUGGCUUUUGUUCAGUCAUCUUGUGGUUUGACUCUUUUAGAUAUGUCUGUAGAAGUUUACUAUGAUAAUUUACUACGACACUUAGAUAUGUUGUUACAAGUUUACCUUUUUGUAACAUUUUAUUUUACUUGAAACUACACAUAGCUAUAUGUCGUUAUUUUACUUGAAACUGCCAUUGUUUGAGAAUCUUGCCUAAAAUUUGAUCCGAAUAAUUGGUCUCUCAAACACAUUAAUGAAAGGUCAAUUUUAACUAUUCAUGAAAGGCCAAUUUAAUUAGUUACGAACCAAUAUGUUAUAAUCAGUAGUGCACUAAUGACUAAACGUUAAAAUAUGAACCAAACGGAUGCAAAGUUAGUGAUGUGUAUAUGUAACUCCUCCUCCACGUCUCACGUAUAUACUGUUCGAAGCAGAAAGUGUGAUACAUAUUCAUCAAUGAAGUUGGGCAGCUUUCAAUUGAUUUCAUUACAUUGAUACCUCCAAUGGUGAUAUUGUUAUGUUUAGAUAUUAUAUUGAUAGUGAUGCCGUGCCAUCCAUGUGCUCCGAUAUUCUUGAGGUACGGAUAUUCUUUCCGUGGUUGUUCUUUUGAAAAACAUUCAUUUUUUCAAAUAAUUAUUCGAUAACGGAUGAUAUUUGCAACCGGUGGAAAAUCGGUAUAAGUUAACCGACCUUUUCGGUACAAUUUGGAUCCGAUUACUCAUUUUAGCAGUUGCCCUCCACUUCAAGUAAUNNNNNNNNNNNNNNNNNNNNNNNNNNNNNNNNNNNNNNNNNNNNNNNNNNNNNNNNNNNNNNNNNNNNNNNNNNNNNNNNNNNNNNNNNNNNNNNNNNNNNNNNNNNNNNNNNNNNNNNNNNNNNNNNNNNNNNNNNNNNNNNNNNNNNNNNNNNNNNNNNNNNNNNNNNNNNNNNNNNNNNNNNNNNNNNNNNNNNNNNNNNNNNNNNNNNNNNUUGAAGAGGUUAUCAGUCACUUUAGAGGAGAGGAACAUGACGAGUAAUUUAUAUUUUUAAUAUCCAAUUUGAUUGCCAUCUUAUGUGAGCUACCUACUAAUUUGGCGCGGAAUUGCAAAAAUAAAGUUGGUUUGGAACGAUAUGGCUACUGCCACGUGUGUGGGUAAUAGUAACUCAGUUAGCCAAAAAAAGCAAACUAACAUAAAUAUUGGAUGAAAUUUGAUUAUUGGGAUUAACAUGUUACAUUAAGAUCUAAAAAGGACUGCAAUAUUACAUAUAUUAUUGUUGUGUACAUAACUCAAACAUAAAAGACCAUUUCGAUCAAUUAAUAAUAUACGAUGCCAUUUAUGUACCAUCAAUAUGAUCAUUUUUAAAGUUGAUAUAAAGAAUGAGAAUUCAACCAAAAAUGUCCAUGUCUACAUAUGCACUAUCACUUCUCAUCCUCGAUGCACUCAAACUAUAACUAUGGUCGGCAUGGCUUCUAUAUUCCAAGUCAACAUAUGACAAUUGAAAACUCUAACACGUAAACAAAUUAAAAAUGUAGAUAUGCAAAAGCGUGAUUGCCUUUAUUGUUGAAUCACAUACACAGUUAUAUAAAGUUUGUAUUGUUAAUUGUGUCGGAUAAUGAACGGUUGGUCUGUCGCUCCGAGUCACAUCUAAAAUGUUUGAGGUCCUAAUUUCUCUCAAUGUGUCAAAGAAGGACGCCCGUGUCAUGUCUACUAAGUCUUUUUAGUAGUUUUUGCUUGUUUUGUCUAUUUACUUCAGACUAUUUUCGUAAUGUCUUUUGGUUACGUAUGCUCGUUGAUUGAUCCAAUGUUGGAGUAACAAUCAUGCAUUUGACAUUUUUCUAAAAACCCAUCUUUUCCAUGGCACGCACAAACAAUAAUUCGAACCGUUUAUGGUUUUAAUAAUGAUGGAAAAGACGAGGCUAGCAAUCACAAACAUUCUCCUCCAACAGUCUAGGAGAUGUUGAACACAAUAGUUUCCAAAUAACACUGAUUUCUGGAAACCAUAAUUGGACAGACAGUUACAGGAUCCGGUAACUCAUGCAACACCAAAAGGUUAAUGUGGCAAAUUCUAAGCGAUUUUCAAACAAAGUUUUUGAAAUUUCUGAUGAGGAACAUUCAUUGAUGGAGCCGACAACAAGGAAUUGAAAGCAAUAGCUAUUGAAUAAUGGGAGGCAGAGGAAAUGGGAAGUGAGCAAAGGGAAAUUGCAGCUAAGAUCCGAAUUCCCAACCAUAUUACCCUCACUCAUUUAUGGCAAUAUUGCCAGUUGAAAUAUUUGCCAUCACUCACACACACACACACACUCCCAGCUGUGCCUUUUCCACCGGUAAACCAUAGACAAGGAAAUUAACACGUCUUCCAACUCAAACUUCCCAACUGCCUUCUCCUCCCCCUCUUCACACAGUCGUCAUACUCCGUAUGUACCAGUUCAACUUGCAACUCAACCGUGUAUAUCCCAUAGCUAUGAAUCCAGAUCGUCGGAGACUCUGGAAAAAAAUUCUAAGUUUCGAGUGGAUUUAAAAGCAUAGUGGGUAAAAUUUCAAAUUUUGAAAAUUUUGUAGAAUGUAGUGACUUUAGAAUUGAGGGACCUCAAUUCCACCAUUGUGUGUAUCAAUGAUCAAUUCUCGAAGAAAAAUAAAAAAUAUCCAUAUAUAAUGAUAAAUUAAAUUAUUUUUAAAGGGUCUGUACAUAAAAAUUGUUCUAUUUCUAUUAAAGAUGUGCACUCAUGUACCCUAGGGAACGAUACUCUUUGUGCAGCUGCCACCUAGGCAUCAGUGUACCAAUUUAACUGGACUUUUGAAAAUUUCUAAGUUUAAAAUAGGUUUGAAAGCAUANNNNNNNNNNNNNNNNNNNNNNNNNNNNNNNNNNNNNNNNNNNNNNNNNNNNNNNNNNNNNNNNNNNNNNNNNNNNNNNNNNNNNNNNNNNNNNNNNNNNNNNNNNNGAUAAAUUAAAACACUUUCAAAAUUUUACAAAAAUUGUUCUAUUUUUGUUAGAGGGGUGUGCUCCUAUAUCUCUAGGAUAUAGUACUCCUUAUGUGGUUGCCUCGUAGGUAUUAUGUUGUUGAUGCCAACAACUAUGUAGGGAGUAUUUGUACUUCUAUAAUACCAGACAUUCUGAUAUCCCUAAAAUAUGAAUAUACCUAUAUGGUUUUUACUAAGGGGCUAACGAGAUUUUACAUUGUUGUUGUCCUUACGUGAAUAACUCCCUUCUAUCAUUAUAAGGUGAUAAUUUUCCUCAUGAUAAAAAAGAUAAUGCUACAAAAAAUGUACUAUGAGACGGGUGUGGUUUAUUGAUAGGAGGGGGUGGUAGCAAUGACAUUAACUCUGGACUUGCCAAAUCUGUAUUGGACUUGUAUUCUUGUAGAGCUAUAUAAGUAGGUAGUAGAUUGAAUAUCAAUAGCCUCUCACAACUCCCACAAUUUCCUCAACUUGGUUUUCUUUCUACUCACCACUCCGACUUCUCUCUAUCUCUUACUCCAGACUUCUGUUGUUCAGUGGGGAAAAGGGAACAGAGUUCGCAAAUUUAAGGUUGCUUUAGCAUUUCGUUCUGUUUUUUGGGGGCUCUCUCUGAGUAAAAACAGAGCAACUAUAGUAUGGCUGCUGCUGCUUUGUCUGCCUGGCCAUGGGAGAACCUUGGAGUGUACAAGGUAACAAAAAGCUCCAAACUUUUUAGUUCAUUCUUUGACAAAAUUUGAUUUGCUCAUGUGGGUUUUUCGUUGUUGUUGCCUGUUGUCGUUUUGUCCAUGUGAAGUAUUUGCUGUAUGGACCUGUGCUGGGGAAAGUAGUCUACUCAAGAUAUCAAGAUGGGUACUUGAAGCUAGAUUGGUGUUUUUACUUGGUAGUCAUUUGGUACCUCAGGAUGUGUGUCCACAUACUGUGGAGCACUUUUGUCAAUAUGCUCUUCUUCACCAAAAGCCUCAGGAUCAACAAACAUGGCUAUGAUUUCAACCAGAUUGAUAAAGAAUGGGAUUGGUAAUUUUACUGAAACGUUACUGCAAUUUGAAUAACUAUAGUUUGUUGGAGCACUACUUAUUGUGCUAUUUGAUUAAUUGCAGGGACAAUUUCCUGAUCCUGCAAUCAAUGAUUGCAUCAGUGACAUGUUUAAUGUUUCCAUCGUUGUUGGAACUUCCUGUAUGGAACACAAAAGGAGUGGUCUGCAUUUUGGUUCUACAUGUAUUAAUCUCAGAGCCACUUUACUACUGGGUUCAUAGAUGCUUCCACAAAACCUCCUUGUUCACCAAUUACCAUUCAAUUCACCACUCAUCUGCAGUUCUCCAUCCUUACACAGGUAACUAAUUUCAAAUAGUUCAUCUCCAAACUCUAUACUACACUCAGAUCAUAAUUGAGUUUGUUUGAUCUGAUCGAAUUUCGUUUUUUUUCGACAGGAUCACAUUUGUCAUUUCUGGAGCAUCUGGUGCAAGCCAUAAUCAUUGGGAUCCCAAUAUUUGGAUCUGCAAUUCUUGGAUAUGGAUCAUUGGUUCCAAUGGUUGGCUACGUUUUGGUGUUUGAUUUCCUGAGGUGUAUGGUCCAUUCCAACACUGAAGUUAUUCCUCACCAGCUCUUCCAGACUCUCCCAUUCCUCAAAUACCUCAUUUCAACACCAACGUAAGUAAAAAAAGUUUAUUAAUUUGUUUUUGUUGCUAGCUACUACAAUUCCUUUCUUUACUAUUGCCCUCCCUAUGAAAUCACAAUUUUGUGACAUAAAAUCUCAGAAAAAAAAUCUGUAAGAAAGAAAGAAAACCAGGCACUACUAGUUUGAGUUGUCUAUAUAGAAUUGUUAAUAAGAUGAUAGGAGUGAGACCUGUCAAAUCAAGACUGGACAUGGCCCCAUUUCUGGCUAAAAAUAUGCCAUCUACCACCUUGCUGUAGUUAUGCUGCCACUGUUUUUAAUGCUUCCAUGCGCUCACACCUCUGUAAAAUUACUGAUCCUCGCCAAAUAGGUUGUAAUCGAGCAGUUGUAGUAUUUUAUUUUGUUCCCAAAAAUUCUGGGUUCGAAGUUCAAGAUAUGUAAUCAUUUCAGCACUCAUGUGAUGGUAUCACCAAUUUCACUUGAGCUGAUACCAAUAACUCUAAAGUUUAUCUGACUGCGUAACAUCACUCAAUGUGAUACCCGUCAAAUGGGAUUUUCAUAUAAAAAAGUUCCAACUCAGUUUCCUGAAUUUAUGUAUCUACAGUAAAAUUGACCGAAGUUCUGUCUUUUUUUUUUGUUCUUACAGGUAUAAUAGCCUGCAUCAUGCUGAAAUGGGAACCAAUUUCUGCCUGUUUAUGCCAAUCUUUGAUGCAAUUUGGAAGACCCUUAACACCAAUUCAUGGGAGCUUCACAAGAAGCAGCGUGCAAAAGCAGGUAAAUAACUCAUUGUUGGAUUGCCACCCACCAAUCUUUCCGACUAGUAAACUCACAAAUAAAUCUGUGCGAGUAGCCCACCAACCUCUCCAACUAUUAUGAUAUUAUCCGCUAUGUGAAGCCUCAUACUAAUCGAAAAAGUUGGUGGCAUUCGGCAACUUUGAUUUUUGUUAUAUUACCAGAGGGAUGGUUCAAAUAAAUGCACCCUUUCCCAGACUUUAGUAUCUGGUACAACUAUUUUUAGGCCACUUGAUUCUGCCCCUUUUUCCCUACUUUCCGUAGGGACCAUUAUCAAAAAGAUCAUUAAUUUUUUUCAAUUGAUCAUGGAUUACAAUCGGAACCAACUCCUCACAACCAAUCCAACAACAAAAUUGUAACUGGCUUUUGUUUGGUGAUCUCAGGGAAGUAUGGGAGAGUAGCUGACUUCGUGUUCUUGGCACACGUUGUCGAUGUAUCUUCUUCGAUGCAUUCGCCCUACGUCUUCCGGACAGUUUCUUCGUUGCCGUACAAGUUCCAAGCAUUCUUGAUCCCUUACUGGCCAACAACUUUCAUGGUGAUGCUAAUGAUGUGGGCUAAAGCCAGGGUAUUCAUCCAAUCCUUCUACACCCUCAGGGGCAAGCUUCAUGAGACUUGGGUUGUCCCUAGGUUUGGUUUCCAGGUAACACCAUGGUUCCAAACUUUACCUUCAUCGUUAUACUUGAAACAAAACACCUGUAACUAAUUAUAACAUGUUAUAAUUCUGCAGUACUUCUUGCCAUUUGCCAAGGAAGGAAUCAAUAAAAGAAUUGAUGAGGCGAUUAUCAAAGCUGAUAGACUUGGAGUUAAGGUCCUGAGUCUUGCUGCACUCAACAAGGUUAGCCAUUUAUUUAUUGUACCAAAAGAAAAAUCUGAGUUGGAUAGAUCUAUGGGCUCAUUUAUGGUCAGCUUAGUUGGAAGGAAGGCAUUAAUGGUUCAUAUCACCAAUGUCAUCUUCUACUAUUGAAUACUGCAACAUUGGAAUGGGGGUCCAUAAACUUUUCUGGAUAUUUAUUAUCCCAUAUUCUGGAUUAAAUUUUCAGUUAUUAUUAGUCUAAUGUAAAUGGACAUGUAACUGAUUAUUGCAGAAUGAAGCUCUGAAUGGAGGUGGAACAUUGUUUGUAAACAAGCAUCCUGAUCUUCGAGUCCGAAUCGUCCAUGGCAACACGUUGACUGCAGCAGUGAUUCUUAAUGAGAUUGGAGAUGACAUUGAAGAAGUUUUCCUAACAGGAGCUACUUCCAAGCUUGGAAGAGCCAUUGCUCUUUACCUUUGUCGACGCAGAGUUCGAGUUCUCGUAAGUAUUCCUUCCUUGAAACCCUGUUCGUCUAACUAGGAUCGAUGAUCGGUACACUAAUUAGUAACGCGGUAUCCAGAUGCUGACGCUAUCUACCGAGAGAUUUCAGAAGAUUCAGAAAGAAGCACCAGUGGAAUGCCAGAGUUACUUGGUGCAAGUUACCAAGUAUCAGGCUGCUAGAAAUUGCAAGGUGAGAUCAGUCAAGUCUCAUAAUGAAUUUUUAGGUCACCAUUGUUUGAUUUUAUGAUUCUUACCCUUUUUGUAAUUGGGCUGGUAAUAGACUUGGAUAGUUGGGAAGUGGAUCACACCAAGAGAGCAAAAUUGGGCCCCUUCAGGAGCCCACUUCCAUCAGUUUGUUGUCCCGCCAAUUUUCGCAUUCAGGAAGGAUUGCACCUAUGGGGACCUUGCUGCAAUGAGAUUGCCUAAUGAUGUUGAAGGUCUUGGAUGUUGUGAGGUAAGAGACCCUUUAGUAAUCACCAUCACUAUCUUAAUAAACUCUCAGCUUUGAUUCAUAACUUGUUAUACACUUUCGACAUGAUUCAGUACACGAUGGACCGCGGAGUGGUGCACGCAUGCCACGCGGGAGGGGUGGUGCACUUCCUAGAAGGGUGGAAGCACCACGAAGUCGGAGCCAUAGAUGUCGACAGGAUUGAUCUUGUGUGGAAUGCUGCAAUGAAACAUGGAUUGAAGCCUGUCUCCAACAUGAACAAAUCGAAACAAACAUAGGAUUAUUAAUUAUUUGGUGUGUUGGCAGCAACGAUGUAUUAUUGGUUUUAAUUUUUAGUGUAUUAUAGUAGUUUGUAUUCGCUAAUGAUGUGCAUCUUUUCAUCAAUGGCCUGAUAAAUGUAAGGAUCGACAUUAAAGCAUAAAAUGUUGUUUCUACAAAGAUGAAUGAAAGGAAUGAGUAAACAAAACGUCUUCUAUCUAGUUAGUUUCUUUGCAAAUAUUGUUUGGGGAAUUUCAAUACGAGUGAUGUUGUGUGAUCUCGUCUAAUUGUUAGAGCAUUUAAACGAGAUUAUAAACUUCAACUUAACAAUCAGCCUACGCAUAUAUCGUGUUCCUGACCUGCCCCAAUCCCUUGUCCAAACUCAAUCCAUUAAUAUUUUCAAUGAAUGAAGUCUCCUUUGAUAUUAAUAAACCACAAAUACAGAAUCUAAACAUGUUUGGGGGGUUGGUUUAAUUAUGAUGGUCCAUACCACAUCAUGCAAAUGAGCACGCUUCUUAAUUAACCAAAAUAAAGUCAUCAAAAAGUAAAGAUUAAUCAACCCUGUAAUAUAAUCAUCUCCCAAAAGAAAAAAGGAGGACGACACACUUCAAUACCAUCUUUCCAAAAGAGAUUGUAAUUAAUCAAAAGGAUGGCCAGGAAAUGUAUCACAUUUUGUUAUAACUAAAGCUUCCUAAUGUGUCUAAUUCUAAUCGAGAUGUAGUUCAAGUGGAAUAUUUUAUAAUGGAUAUUUAUAUAAUAUUUAAUUGUUUUUAUCUAUUCAGUGAAUUUAUCGCUCUUUGUGUAUCAUCUGAUUCUCCAAUAACAAUCAUUGUGUCUUUUUGGGUUCUCCCUCACGGGCUUGUCUCACUCAACAUGGCCCAAUUACAUGCUUGUUGGCUCUUUAAGAGAUCCGCUUGGCCCUUUCUUUGGAAGUUUGAUAAGUGGAUAUUGAGAAGUUACAAAUUUAGUUAUGUUUAAAAAAUUUUGAUUGAACCAAUGCUCUAAUCCAUCCUAACUUUUAAAAAA